RNAcentral lists this long non-coding RNA (61423 nucleotides) under Sorghum bicolor (sorghum). RNAcentral's name for it is "long non-coding RNA (SBIC_LNC002656)". The stretch from base 19918 to 20024 matches the Rfam family "Plant small nucleolar RNA R71". The record is from RNAcentral. Lineage: Eukaryota; Viridiplantae; Streptophyta; Magnoliopsida; Poales; Poaceae.
CUGACCAAGAAGGAUGACCCAAGAAUGCCAAGCAUCUAUUGCUCCAUAAAUGGAUACAACUUCUACAAGACGACUUGCGACACCAGAUCGGGCGUCAACAUAAUGGCCGCAGUCACCUAUCGGCUCUUGUUCGGAACCAUGCCCUUAAAACCAACAUACAUUCACCUCCAGAUGGCAGAUCAGACAUUUCAAGAAGUUAAAGGAAUAGUAACUGAUGUCCCUAUCAAAAUAGACGAUCAUUUUGUCUACACAGACUUUCAGGUUAUUGACAUGGGAGAAGACGAAUACGAUCCGCCCAUCAUCCUUAGAAGACCGUUCCUCAACACCGUUAAAGCAAUCAUCUACAUUGGAACUGGAGAAGUCCAUAUGCACUUCCCCUCAGAGAAGGUACGCCGCUAUUUUAUUGACCCUAACUAUAUCAUUGAAGACUCUAAGUAGGUCAGAAGAAGACGACGCAACCGCAACCAGAGGAGGGAAAUCAUCAAGGACGGAUGGGCAGACUAUGAAGGAGAAGUUGUAAGGUCAGAAGACGUAUAGUUUAAACAGAAUUAUCCAGAGGAGACCGUAGCACCGAGUCAGGUGUGGAGAGAAAAGAUAACCAUACAUGAACAAGAGGCACCGCCGAAAGUAUCGACUCCGCCACCCAAUGACUCCCAGGACGACUGAGAAAACAAAGAGUCCCGUUCGGAGGACUUAAAAACACCGAACGCCAUGCCAAGAGGUAAACUUGGUAGUUAUCCUUUCUCUUUCAAUUAUUUAAAAUAGUUUACUUAAUUAGUUAUGUUUAUACUAUCCUAAAAAGAAAAGAAAAAUGUUAAAAAACAGUUAGCCCCAUGUGAGUAUACGGGUGGCAUAAAACCCAUAAGUACAUUCACUGUGGUGGCAUAAAAGUAAAAUAAAUAUUUCUUUUCUGCUUUAUAAAACGAAAAUAUAAAAAUAGCGAGUAUAUUAAGGAGGCUCAAUAUGAUAAAGGCUAGAUAUUUAUGCUAACACUUAAUCAGUUCCACAAGCUUUGUUGUCUAUUUGAGCUCCACAGAAUUUAAGAAUCAAGAAGACUAGCAGACAGAGGACAUUCUAAUCGCUGUCAGGAUACUGCCGACUUUCAAAUACACCUCUGCCACUUGCUAGCUACAUCAAGAGAAAUUACGUCAAAAUUCAGCUAGGGUGAGAGCACCCCCAUUUAUCCCGCUAAGUAUUUCAAUCUUUAUACUUAUACUAUAUUAAAAUAUACAUUACUAUGGAAAACAAAAUAAAGAUUUUAUGCUUAUAUAUAUGUCUUUUGCUUAGUAUGUUUAAUAAAUAAAUAAAGUGGCUAUGCUAAUCUGAAUCUUAAUAAUAAAACUCUAGCAUGGAUAUGAUGAAUAGUUGCUCUGCCUAAUUUGCAAAUUUGAAGUUCUCUCACUAGUUUAGAUAUAACUGUUAUAUUUUAAAGCUUGCUCUAAACCUAAACUUGUGGGAUGAAAACUUGAUCUGAAGUCUAAGUUGUUAACGGAUACGAUAUGGAAAGGUUGGGCUGCUGUUUAUCUGUUCCUAGAGAUGCUAGAAAUUCUAGAGAAUUUUAUCUUUUAAAAUCUUUAAAAUAGCACAUGAUGAGUUCCUGUAUGAUGAGAGUUUAAAUUCCUACCACAGCCAUAUAUACAUGCUUGCUAGAUUUUGAGCCACACAUUUACUUUUUGCUGCUUAUGAGCAUUGAGUGUGGUCAAGCUGUGUAGACCCUUAGGAGCUUGUCAUGUGGUUAAAUCAAGAUUCACUUGCACAUUCAUUCACACAUGCUACUUCUACUCCGGAAGUACCAUCCACAUAUAUCCAUCCAUUUCCAUCUCCAGAACCACCCAAAAAUAUUCUACUCCUAAUCCGGGAGAGAAUGGCCAAAAAUAUUUCUGUUUCCCCUAUGAAAUAAAUGCUCAAGUUAUCUUAUUACUAUCACUUGCUAUAUUAUCUCAAGAGAUGAGUGCUCUAAAAAAAAGUAUACGAGGAAAUAAAAAGGGACAAGUGCCCGGAACCUCAAAAGAAAAGAAAAAGUGAGACGAGAGGUAAAAAUGGACAAGUGUCCGAUAGUAGAAUUAGGGGUACAAGAUACCCACCUGAGAGGAAAGAAAAAGAAAAGAUAGAGCAUCUCAUUCUCCUCACAAAGUUUCAGAGAGCAAGGAAGGUAUGUAUUCCCUCAAAGAGAAAAAGUAGAAUUAGACUUCCACCAUUGUUAUCACCAUCAUCACCAUACACCAUUCAUUCGCCACACAUGCACAUCUUGAUUUGACUUAUUGAUUUGUUUCUUUGGAUCCAUGGUUUGACUAUACAAUAUAUGUCUUGUGAGUAUGUAUAUUUUAUCUCCCACCUAUGAGCUCCAGAUAUCAAGCCUUAUUAGAGUAGGGUGAGAGAGAAGGUAAUGUCACUAUGCCUUAUACCACAAAUACCACAUAUCUUGAGAGAAGGCAUAUACCAUCACUGCCUUGGUAAGGAUCCAGAAAUACCACAAAAGAGAGAUAUGAGAGAGUCAUACAAGGAAUCUCUGAGUUUUAUUUGAAAAUCUACAAAAACUCCAGAGCUAUAGCGGAUCAAGAAUAAGAGACAUGGCACUUGGCUAGACCGUUCUAUCUUUUAACUACUCAAGACAGAAGUGACGGUUACAAGUCCCAUGGUGAAAGGUAAAAUGAAUAAGUUUUAAGUCUUGACAGUUUACUCUAACUCAGAGAUGAGAUCCUAUUUAAAAGCAUGUGUACCGUCAAUUUUUAAAAGUAUUGCAACAACUUCUGAUUCAUCACUGAAAUUAUCCUUGCUCAGGGACGAGCAAGAGGUAAGCUUGGGUGAGUAUGUUGACGGUCCUUAAGUAUCAAAUUUAAUUAACAAAUAAACAAAGAAAAGGAUCCAAAUGAACUCAACAUCUAGACUUAGGGUUUUAUCUGACAGAAUUCCACGAGUUUUGGUGUUUGUCUAUUUCUGCAGGGGGUUAUCAGGAAAUAAGGAAGAAAGGCCCACAUGUCGGGAUUACCUAGAGAUAUCAAUGUGCCGCACAAUUAUCUUACAUCUAGAAGACUCCAGAAGCCACGGGAAGGAAGCGGAGGCCGAACGAGGCCAGGCACUAGGCGCCCACCCCCUCUUGGAGUUGGAUCAGGACUCUCUUUCGGGAAAGAUCUCCACCGACCUAAAGGAUCAAGGAUAACCGUUCAAUCAAUGUCGGUUUGAUCCAACGGCCCAUAUUCACUUGAAGGGACUAUAAAACCAGACCCCCUGGCCCCUGGAGGAGAGAGCCUCUCAACCCUAAUUCAUUAUUCCUCAAGGGAGAAGAAGCCUCUGUUCAAGCCUAGAGCCACCACAUCAAUUAGACAUCUAGAUUAGCAUAGCUACAUAGGAUUAGAACUAGAAGGAGUCAAUGUUCGAUUGGUUUCCGGAUCUAUCAAGAGGAUUCUUGGUAAUUCUCUAAUUGUUCUUCUAAUUGUUCUUCUAAUCAUCUUUGUUCUUCAGUAUUAUGAAUAUGACUUUGUUCUACUUCAAUAUAUUGCUUAUGACUUUGCUCUACUUGCUUAUAUUCAAGAUUGUAUUGUUCUUAGUUUAUCAUAGUUAUAUACUUGGCUUAGUUAGAUUGGAUCUAUAUACAUGUUUAGGAUCGUAUGACUUUAUCCAUCGGAUCCAUGGGUAAAUGAUAGAUAUUGUGUAGCCGUGGUGCUUAUACCGUAUUUAUCUCUGAUUGUACCCAAUAUGUCAGAUCAAGGGGUAGUUCGUGAUAGUGACAGCUUCAUUGAUUCUUAUAUAGUCCCCCUCUCGUGUAUUGGGCAGGCAGAGCAACAUUAUUAUAGGAGAGUGAUUGCUAUGUUUCUCAUUUACCUUGAUAAUAUCACUAUGCAUGGGCGUAGUCUUGUCUCACAAUGAUUGCUAAUUAUGCUUGCACUAACUAUGAUAAUGUUAGACUAUAUAGUUGAGAAUAACUUAGGAAAUAUUCUUGUAGUUCGUUCUAAUACCAUGCUAAUGACUUUCUAGAAUAUCUAAUUGAUGUGUUUGUCAUAUUUAUUAUGUGGAUAAGUUAUGCUAAUCAGAUUAAUUAUCUUUGUCACUAUUCAUUACUUCAUAUAUCUUUUAUGUGACACUUACCCCUGUAUGAAAGAGUUAGAUAAAUGUUCUCAAUUAUACAUGCAACGAUAGAUACUCAAUCUCAUAUUCUAUUCUAUAAUCAAUAUUGAUGAUUGGUAAUCCCUUCCCAGUGGUAAAAAUAUAAAUAACGAUACCUGGAAUACUUCCCGGUUAAAAUGCUACAUCGGUAUUAAUCUGUGCGCUUGCAGAUCCCAUUCAUUAUAUAUUUAGAAGAGCAAUUGCAUAUUUCAAUACCGCGUCUCUCAUGUCAUGCUGGGGAUGACAACUUGGCUUAAGUGAUUUGAGGGAUAGGUUUGGCAUUUUUGGCACCGCUAUCAGAAUUAGAAAACUAAGUCUACUUUUGGUAGUGACGUUAAGAAUGCCCAACACCCACCUGAGAGGAAAGAAAAAGAAAAUAUACAGCAUCUCAUUUUCCUCAAAAAAGUUUCAAAAGAGCAAGGAAGGUAUAUAUCCCCUCAAAAGAGCAAAAGUAGAAUUAAACUUUCACCAUUGUUAUCACCACCAUCACCAUACACCAUUCAUUCGCCACACAUGCACAUCUUGAUUUGACUUAUUGACUUGUUUCUUUGGAUCCAUGGUUUGAUUAUGCAAUAAAUGUCUUGUAAGUAUGUAUACUUUAUCUCCCACCUAUGAGCUCUAGAUAUCAAAAGCUUUAUUAGAAUAGGGUGAGAGAGAAGACAAUGUUACUAUGCUUUAUACCACAAAUACUACAUAUUUUGAGAGAAGGCAUAUACCAUCACUGCCUUGGUAAGGAUCCAGAAAUACCACAAAAGGGAGAUCUGAGAGAGUCAUACAAGGAAUCUCUGAGUUUUAUUUGAAAAUCUGCAAAAACUCCAGAGCUAUAGCUGAUCAAGAAUAAGAGACAUGGCACUUGAUUAGACUGUUCAAUCUUUUAACUACUCAAGACAGAAGUAAUGGUUACAAGUCCCAUGGUAAAAGGUAAAGUAAGUAAGUUUUAAGUCUUGAUAGUUUACUCUAACUCAGAGAUGAGACCUCAUUUAAAAACAUGUGAACCGUCAAUUUUUAAAAGGUAUUGCAACAACUUCUGGUUCAUCGCUGAGAUUAUCCUUGCUCAGGGACGAGCAAGAUGUAAGUUUGGGAGAGUUUGUUGACGGUCCUUAAGUAUCAAAUUUACUUAUCAAAUAAAUAAAGAAAAGGAUCCAAAUGCAAUCGACAUCCAGACUUAGGGUUUUAUCUGAUAGAAUUCCACGAGUUUUGGUGUUUGUCUAUUUCUUCAGGGGGUUAUCAGGAAAUACGAAAGAAAGGCCCACACGUCAGGAUUACAUAGAGAUAUUAACGAACCGCGCAAUUAUCUUACAUCUAGAAGACUCCAGAAGCUGUUGGGUAUUCUUAACAUCAUUACCAAAAGUAGACUUAGUUUUCUAAUUCUGAUAACGGUGCCAAAAAUGCCAAACCUAUCCCUCAUACCACUUAAGCCAAGUUGUCAUCCCUAGCAUGACAUGAGAGACGCGGUAUUGAAAUAUGCAAUUGCUCAUCUAAAUAAAUAAUGAAUGGGAUCUGCAAGUGCACAGAUUAAUACCGAUGUAGCAUUUUAACCAGGAAGUAUUCCAGGUAUCGUUAUCUAUAUUUUUACCACUGGGAAGGGACUAGUAAUCAUCAACGUUGAUUAUAGAAUGGAAUACGAGAUUGAGUAUCUAUCAUUGCAUGUAUAAUUGAGAACAUUUAUCUAACUCUUUCAUACAGGGAUAAGUGUCACUUGAAAGAUAUAUGAAGUAAUGAAUAGUGACAAAGGUAAUUAAUCUGAUCAGCAUAACUUAGCCACAUAAUAAAUAUGAUAAGCACCUCAAUUAGAUAUUCUAGCAAGUCAUUAGCAUGGUAUUAGAACGAACUACAAGAAUAUUUCCUAAGUUAUUCUCAACUAUACAGUCUAGCAUUAUCAUAGUUAGUGCAAGCAUACUUAGCAAUCAUUGUGAGACAAGACUACACCCAUGCAUAGUGAUAUUAGCAAGGAAUAUGAGAAACAUCUUAAUCACUCCCCUGUAAUAAUGUUGCUCUGCCAGUCCAAUACACGAGAGGGGGACUAUAUAAGAAUCAAUGAAGCUGUCACUAUCACGAACUACCCCGCGAUCUGGCAUAUUGGGUACAAUCGCAGAUAAAUACGGUAUAAGCACCACGCCUACACAAUAUCUAUCAUUUACCCAUGGAUCCGAUGGAUAAACGCUAUACGAUCCUAAACAUAUAUAUAGAUCCAAUCUAACUAAGCCAAGUAUAUAACUAUGAUAAACUAAGAACAAUAUAAUCUUGAAUAUAAACAAGUAGAGCAAAGUCAUAAGCAAUAUAUUGAAGUAGAACAAAGUCAUAUUCAUAAUAUUGAAGAACAAAGAUGAACAAUUAGAGAAUUACCAAGAAUCCUCUUGACAAAUCUGGAAACCAAUCGAAGAUUGACUCCUUCUAGUUCUAAUCCUAUGUAGCUAUGCUAAUCUAGAUGUCUAAUUGAUGUGGUGGCUCUAGGCUUGAUCAGAGGCUUCUUCUCCCUUGAUGAAUAAUGAAUUAGGGUUGAGAGGCUCUCUCCUCCAGGGGCUAGGGGGUCUGGUUUUAUAGUCCCUCCAAGUGAAUAUGGGCCGUUGGAUCAAAUCGACAUUGAUUGAACAGUUAUCCUUGAUCCUUUAGGUCGGUGGAGCGUAAUCCCGAAAGAGAGUCCUGAUUGGACUCUAGAGGUGGGCGGGCGCCUAGGGCUAGGCCCCGUUUUGCCUCCGCUUUGUUCCCGUGGCUUCUGGAGUCUUCUAGAUGUAAGAUAAUUGCGCGGCAUGUUGAUAUCUCUAUGUAAUCCCGACGUGUGGGCCUUUCUUCCGUAUUUCCUGAUAACCCCCUGUAGAAAUAGACAAACACCAAAACUCGUGGAAUUCUGUCAAAUAAAACCCUAAGUCUAGAUGUUGAUUUCAUUUGGAUCCUUUUCUUUGUUUAUUUGAUAAUUAAAUUUGAUACUUAAGGACCAUUAACAAAGUCCCCCAAGCUUACCUCUUGCUCGUCCCUGAGCAAGGAUAGACUUAAAAAUGGAUCAGAAGUUGCUGCAAUACCUUUUAAAAUUUUACGGUACACAUGCGUUCAAACAAGAUCUCAUCUCUAGGUUAGGGUAAACUGUUAAGAUUUAAACUUACUCAUUUUACCUUCCACCAUGGGGCUUGCAACUGUCACUCGUGUCUUGAGCAAUUAAAAGAUAGAACGGUCUAGUCAAUCGCCAUGUCUCUUGUUCUUCGAUUAACUAUAGCUCUGGAGUUUUUGUAGAUUUUCAAAUAAAACUCACAGAUUCCUUGUAUGACUCUCUCUAGUCUCUCUUUUGUGGUAUUUCUGGAUCCUUACCAAGGCAGUAAUGGUGUAUGCCUUCUCUCAAAGUAUGUGGUAUUUUUGGUAUGAGGCAUAGUGGCAUUGCCUUCUCCCUCACCCCUCUCUAAUAAGGCUUUUGAUAUCUGGAGCUCAUAGGUGGGAGAUAAAGUAUACGUACUUACAAGACAUUUAUUGCAUAGUCAAACCAUGGAUCUAGAGUAACAAGUCAAUAAGUCAAAUCAAGAUGUGCAUGUGUGGCGAAUGAAUGAUGUAUGUAAUGAUAGUGAUAACAAUGGUGAAAGUCUAAUUCUACUUGUGCUCUUUUGAGGGGAUACAUACCUUUCUUGCUCUUUUGAAACUUUUUGAGGAGAAUAAGAUGCUCUAUAUUUUCUUUUUCUUUUCUCUGAAGUGGGUAUCUUGUACCCUUAAUUCUACUGUCGGACACUUGUCCAUUUUUACCUCUCGCCUCACUUUUUCUUUUCUUUCGAGGUUCCGGGCACUUGCCCCUUUUUAUUUCCUCGUAUCUCUUUUUUUUAGAGCACUCAUCUCCUUAAAUAAUGUAGCAAGUGGUAGUAACUAAAAUAACUUGAGCAUUUAUUUCAUAGGGGAAAAACAGAAAUGUUUUUGGCUAUUCUCUCCCGGAUUAGGAGUAGAAUAUUUUUGGGUAGUUCUGGAGAUGGAAAUGAGUGGAUGUAUGUGGAUGCGUACUUCCGGAGUAGAAGCAGCAUGUAUGAGUGAACGUGCAAGUGAAUCUUGAUUUUAACCACAUGACAAGCUCCUAAAGGUCUACACAGCUUGACCACACUCAAUGCUCAUAAGCAGUAAAAAGUAAAUGGAUGGUUCAUAGUCUAAUAAGCAUGUAUAUAUGGCUAUGGUAGGAUUUUAAACUCUCAUCAUACAUGAACUCAUCAUACAACAUUUUAAAUAUUUUCAAAGAUAAAAUUCUCCAGAAAUCUAGCAUCUUUAGGAACAGAUAAACAUCAGCUCAACCUUCCCAUAUCGUAUUCGUUAACGACUUAGACAUUAGAUCAAGUACUCUUCCCACAAGUUCUGGUUUAGAGCAAAUCUUAAUUAAUAACAGUCAUGCCUAAACUUGAGAGAGAUUUCAAUUUUGAGAAUUAGUCAUGGCAGAGCAACUAUUCAUCAUUUCCAUGUGAGAGCUUAUCAUGAGGGUUCAUAGCAAACUUUAUUUAUUUAUUUAUUUAGCAAACUAAGCAAAGAUAUAUAUAAGUACAAAAUCUUUAUUUGGGUUUUUAUGAUUAUGCAUCUUUUUAUUAUUUGAGUAAAGUAUAAAUGUGAGUAGAAUACUUAGCUGGAUAAAUGGGGGUGCUCUCCCCCAAGCUGGAUUUUGACAUAAUUCCUCCUGAUGUAGCUAGCAGGUGGCGGAGGUAUAUUUGAAUGUCGGCAGCACCCUGACAGCGAUUAGCGUCUGCUAGUCUUCUUUGAUCCUUGAAUUGUGUGGAGCUCAAAUAGACAACAAAGCUUUGUGGAACUAGUUAAGUGUUAGCAUAAAUAUCUAGCCUUUAUCAUGUUGAGCCUCCUCAAUAAAUAUUACUAUCUUUGGUAGGAUCAUAAAUUUAUUUUUAUAUUUUCAUUUUUAUAGCACAUAAAUAUAUUUAUUUUAUUUUUAUGCCACCACUGUGAAUGUACUUAUGAGUUUUAUGCCAUGAGCAUACUCACAUGGGGCUUACUAUCUUUAACAUUUUUAUUUUCGUUUCAAGAUGAUAUGAACCUGAUUAACUAAGCAAACUAUUUUAAAUAAUUGAAAGGAAAAGGAUAACUACCAAGUUUACCUCUUGGCAAAGCGUUCGGUGUUUUUAAGUCCUCUGAACGGGACUCUUCGUUUUCUCAGUCAUCCUGGGAUUCGUUGGAUGGCGUAGUCGGUGGUUCCGGCGGCGCCUCCUCUUCAUGUAUAACUAUCUUCUCUCUACACACCUGACUCGGUGCUAUGGUCUCCUCAAGACAGUUCUGUUGAAGUUGUAUGUCUUCAGACCUUACUACUUUUCCUUCGUGGUCUGCCCAUCUGUCCUUGAUGAUUUGCCUCCUCUGGUUGCGGUUGCGUCGUCUUCUUCUUAUCUUGACCUGCUUAGAGUCUUCAACUAUAUAUUUAGGGUUAGUAAAAUGGUGGCGUACCUUCUCAGAGGGGAAGUGCCUAUGGACUUCUUUGGUUCCAAUGUAGAUGAUUGCUUUAACGGUGCUAAGGAACGGUCUCCUAAGGAUGAUGGGUGGAUCGUACUCGUCUUCUCCUAUGUCAAUAACCUUCAACCUUUUGGAAUGUCUGAUCUACCAACUCGAGCUGAAUGUAUGUCGGUUUUAGGGGCAUGGUUCCGAACAGGAGCUGAUAGGUGACUGGGUCGUCCUUUUUGGUUAGGAACGGUGACUUAAGUCGACGAUCUUGACCUCGUUGAACUAGAGUGACCAUCUUAGUUGACUUGAUCCACAUUUGCUUGUUCCUGUUCCUCCUGUUGGUCCUCUUCCUUGGUUCAUGUCGGGAUUGCUCUGAGAUUUGUGUAAUCUUGUUCUCGAAGGAAAAUGUCUCCUUCUUUUCCUUGAUGUAGAAACUGAUCUAGGCAGCACUAGCGUAGAUGAUAGCGCCUGAGGUGUUCAGGAAUGGCCUCCCUAGGAUGAUGGUUGCCCUCUCAUCAGAACCGGUCUCUAUCACCACGAAGUCUGCUGGGGCGUACAAGGUACCAACUCGAACGCAGAGGUUCUUCAAUAUUCCCUUUGGGAAACUUAGCGUAUGAUCUGCAGGCUGCAAACACAUGGUUGUUUCUAGUAAAGGAUGCGUAAAUAAUUUUUCAUAGAGUACCCUAGGCAUAAUGUUAACGCUGGAGCCAAAGUCGCAGAGUGCUUCUAGGAAGUCCACCAUGCCGAUGGAGAUCGGGAUGACGGGGCAUCCUAGAUUGUCUCUCUUGACCGGGAGAAGGUCAGUAAUUACUUCCACAAUGGAUUUACUCCAGUAGCUACGUCCUCAAGCAUCUCAGGGCAGUGAUUGCCUGAGUGUCUAGUAUAUCCAGUGUGUUUGUGCUUGUAGAUCUAGGUUCUUCACUUGGUGGAGUCUGGGAGUUGUAAAAGUCCUUCAUAUUUUGCUCGAAGUGUACCUGCUCAUAGAGACAAGGCAGAGAUCAAGUGCAUGGGCCCUGUUGGUGGAAAACACCAACAGAACAAAAAGUGUAUUUGUUCUUCUCUAACCUUAAGCAUAGUGAGCAAGACAAAGUUGAUGGAUAAUAAGAUCAUGAGUGUAGUGUUUAAAGUAUUUGUCAGAUCAGAUCGCUCAACCUAAUGGAAAGAUAAUCUAUCUAUACUUAUUAUUAUUAUUUUUUAUAUAUAUAUCUUCCAAAGAUUGAGUGUGCAACAUUUUAGUUCAUAUGAUUAGGAGUGUGGGAUCACAAAGGUGGAAGGACUAAACAUAUUGAAUCGACUGGGUUGGUUAAUCUAGAGUUGUAAAUCAUACAUGUUUGUCUCUUUUAUUCAUGUGAACGCCAGAACCAAAGAGAAGCUUAUAAAAAGAAAUGAUAGUCAAGUACCUUAAAAUGUUACCUUACUUGAAGGGUGAUGGUACAGUAUCACCUUGUGGAAGCUUUCCUUUUUUAGCGGUUGUGCAUCGUGUUUGUGGCACCAUCCAUGGAUCAUCUCUUGUGAGCUAUGCCUUCCUUGUGUAAAUUGUUAACCUUCAUGUGCCUCUCUCUUUGUCUCCAAUGUGUGUUUACCUCAGGACUUCCCAGGUCGAUAUUGAAAGUUUUCCUGCAGGGGUUAGUCCUACAAAAUAUUCAAUAUCUACUAUAGCAUACUAUCGGCUCAAAAAUCAACCUAGACACCAUGUCUAAUUUGAUUUAGGAGGGCAUUUUAACCUAAGCACCAUGCUUAAUUUAAAAUCCCUUGGAAGUAAGAUCAACAUUCCUAACUAAGCACCAUGCUUAAUUAAGAGAUAAAUGAAACUACUCCAAACCUAGACAUAUACUAAAGCAAAUAAAGGUAGCAUGAGAACAUUUAUAGAGAUCUACUCAAGUGGAGAUGAAGUAGUGUGAUUAGUAUUUAACAAAUUGAGCAUGUCUCAAAGGUAGGGACAACCAACAUAGCAACAUGGCAAAGGAUGUUUUUAUGUAAAGUACUCCCCCAAGCUUGAAUUUUGCAAAAUUCAAGUUUGGAUGAAUUUAAUUCAAAGUUGUAUGAUGAUUGGUUGGACAUACCUUGUGCUUGUCAUUCAUCCGAUCUUCUUGCUCCAAUCGUGGAAAGGUUAGUGACAAGAAUACCCGAAGGAAUUUUUUACAAUUAUCCUUAUAUGCUCAAUACACAAGGUAAUGUUGCAUAUAAUUAAAAGCUCAUGUUACGAUCUAAUCAGUGCUUAUUUUAGGACACUAAGCUUCUCCUUGGGAAACCAUCAAUUUAUGUCGGCGAAGUGGUUUCCCCUCCAAUGCUGACCUAUAUCAAGAUCAACUCAACGAGAUCUGCAAUAUUUAUUAUAGACAUAUGUAUCGACAACCGCCCUUUUAAAGUUUUUAUAAAUAGAAAGGAUGAGGGGGUUGGAGAUCUCAAAUGUGGUGAUGUUGGAGAGACUAAAAGAUUGGGAAGAUGUUGCAUAUGAGCAUGGAGUAAAUGAAGUGUCUAUGAAAUAAAUUCCAUGCUAAUUAAUGCUUAGAGAGAAAUCCAUGUGGUGUGGUGAAAAUGGUAAGGUGAGUGUGGUAAAAAAGGAAAAGAAAAAGGAUACACGGAUGACUUGGUUCGAAACUAGCACAGCUACAGUUCCCCGGCUACGGCGCCAGAAAGCUUGUUCGGUAUUUUAAACGUAAACAGAAAAAUCCGCAAGCGUACGGAUACCGAUGUAGCUUUCACCCGGGAGUAUUCCAGAGUAUCGAUUUUCCACAGGGAACAUGAGUAUACUAAUUAAGAAUCAAGAUCGCCCAAGGAUAACUAUAUAAUUAUUUUUGGUGGGAAGAGAGGAAGUUUCCUGAGAGUUCUCUAGUUGAUCUAAGAAUCAACAAUUACUUCAAAGAUUAUUUAUUUCGGGACAUCAGAACACUAACCACAGAAAGAGAUGAGAAGGGGACUAGGAGGCUCUGACAACGGUCCUACAAACACCGAUCCGAACGAGGUGGAAUACGUCGACCGUUAGAGCUAUCAUUACCCUAGGGCUACCACAACAAUCCGUAGGAUUGGGUGCAAUUCCAGGUAAUUGCAAGACUAAACACCACGUCUAAUCUAUUAAUUACUACUCUAGCGUUAUAAAGACUAGAGCACUUGAUGCAAGCAGGAAUCCAAUAAAUAACUUGAAUGUAAAUAAAAGUAAUUAAAGAACUCAGGAAUUAUGAAUUGAAGAACUUGGAGAACGAUGAAGAACGAACCAGUUGCUGCAAAAGAAUAAUGUUAAGAAAGAUUCGACAGAUCCGGCUCCUCCUCCGCUCUCCUCUUCUCUCUCCCUAUUUUCUAGAUUACAACUAGAACUAACUAAAACUAGAACUAGAGGAACUAGAAUUAGAACUAGAUGAACUAGAACUAGAUGAACUAGAGCUAGAACUAGAUGAACUAGAGGGAUCCUCUCUACUUGGAUGAAGAAUUGAAACCCUACCUUUGAUUCUGUAGAAGAGGUAUGAUCUCCAGGGGCCAGGGGGCCUUGCUUAUAUAGUCUUUUCAGAUGAAUCUGGGCCGUCGGAUCAAACUGACAUUAAUCGCAUGGUUUUCCUUGAUCCAUUAGGUUGGUGGAGCGUAAUCCACGAAACGGCUCCUGUUUGGACUCUAUAGCUGGGCGGGCGCCCCGGGCCAGGCCCCGUUCGGCCUUCGCUUCGUUCCCGUGGCUUCUGGAGUCUUCUAGAUGAUAGAAAAUUUUGCGGCACGUUAAUAUAUCUAUGUAAACCCGACGUGUGGGCCUUUCCUCCGUAUUUCCAGAUAACCCCCUGCAGAAAUAGACAAACACCAAAACUCGUGGAAUUCUGUCAGAUAAAACCCUAAGUUUGGGUGUUGGUUGCAUUUGGAUCCUUUUCCAUGAUUAGUUGAUGGUUAAAUGUGAGCAUUAAGAACCGUCAACAAAUGGAUUCUAAGUUAUCUACUAUCUACUAAGUCAGAACCUACUCUAGUUAUCUACAAGAUCAUAUAUAGCAUAAAAGACUCUUCAUUCAUGUAUAAGGAACAUUGCUAAAGUAAAUCAGAGCAUCACAAGACUUACUCUGCAAUACAAAUUCUGCCUGUCCUAUCAACGGAGGGUGGACUAUAUAAGAAUCAAAGAAGCUGUCACUAUCGCGAACUACCACACGACCCGGCCAAUAGGAUACAUUUGCAGGUAAAUAACAUCUAAGCACCACGCCCACAUGUGAUCUACCACUUAACUCCCGCGCGUCAAGAGCUAAGCGCUUUGCAAACUUAUACAUAAACUUAUUAUCAAUCAUAACCAUAACAAAUAUAGAACUAGAGCAAACUAAGAUCAUAAUAAAUAGAGACAUAAUGCAAUUAGAACAAAGUACUAGAGAAAGAUAUGAAAUAAUACCAAUCUUUAUUAGCGAAGAUCCGAAUCCAGAGCACUAGGCUCUACUUCUCUAAUUCUAUCUAAUCAAUCCUCUAAACUUGAAGGAUUAGGGAGUAGCUAAUUCUAAUUCUCUAUGGGAGAGAUGUCUAAACCCUAACUUUGAUGGCUACCUCUGAUAAUGAUUUCUCCUCUCUCCCCCUGCGGUGGAGAGGCCUUGAUUAUAUAGUCCUUUCAAGUGAAUUUGGGUCGUCGGAUCAAACCGACAUUGAUCGCACGGUUUUCCUUGAUCCUUUAGGUCGGUGGAGCAUAAUCGGCGAGACGGGUCCUGAUUGGACUCCUGGCCAGGGCGGGCACCCAAGGGGGGAGGGUGGGCGCCCUGCCCCCGAGCCCUUCCGGUCUCCCGUUCAUUCCCAUGGCUUCUGGACUCUUCUAGAUUGAGGAAAAUUAGGCGGCACGUAAUUAUCUCGAUGUAAACAUGACAUGUGGGCCUUCUCUCCAUAUUUUCUGAUAACCCCCUGCAGAAAUAGAUAAACACCAAAGCUCGUGGGAUUCUGUCAGAUAAAACCCUAAUUCUAGAUGUUUGUUUCAUUUGGAUCCUUUUCCAUGUAUAAUUGAUGGUUAAAUUUAGUACUUAAGGACCGUCAACAAACUCCCCCAAGCUUAUCCUUUGCUCGUCCCUGAGCAAACAGCUAAACUCAGAUGGAUCAGGAGUUGCUUCGAUGUUUUCUUUUCUGACAGGCACACAUGCUUUCACAUAAAAAUUCUUCCAGAUUAGAGUGAAGUGUUAUAGAGCUUAGUACCUGCACUUAAGUCUUAAGUAAUCGAAAGACAAAAUAAUUAAGUCAAGCACUAUUCCUCCUAUCUAUACUUCACUUUUGUUCCAGAAUUUUUCAUAAGUUUUCAAAAAUAAAACUCAGAGUCCCCAGCAAUGAUUCUCUCAAGUCUCUCUAUAUGUGGUAUUUGUGGAUCCUUACCAAAAUUUCACUUACCUAUAGCUAAUGGAAUAUUUAAGUGGAGCUCAUAGGAGUGAAAAACAGCUCAUAUGUUGUCUAAUCGAGCCAUGGAUCCAAAGGAACUCAGCAUAUAAUUAAAUCAAGAUGUGCAUGUGUGGUGGAGUAAAUGAUAGUGAUGGUAAAAAUAUAUAAGUAAUGAUAAAACUUACUUCUCAUUGCUCCUUAUAUUGCUAUCUCUCCUCUUCUUUGAUCUUUGCAUUGGGAGAACAUGGGCUAUCUUUUUCUCUCAUUUUUUCAGGUGGGUAGUAGAUACCCCUAAUUCUACUAUCGGACACUUGUCCAUUUUUUCCGCUCAAGUGGGCAUCUUUGUACCCCUAAUUCUACUCCAGACACUUGUCCAUUUUUACCUCUCGUCUCACUCUUUUUCUUUCUUUAUCGAGGUUCCCAGGCACUUGCCCCUUUUUAUUUCCUCGCAUAUUUUUGCAUAACCCAUGCCUCUUCUGCAUUGAAUCUUUUUAGAGAGAGAGAAUAACAACACUUGGGACAGUGAGUGAUAAUAUUUUUAGCAGUUUUAAUGAAUGGUGGUGAAUGGUGUAGUUGAUGUGUGCAAGUGAAUAUCUUAAUUUAACCACAUGAAAAGUUCCUAAGGGUCUACACAGCUCGAUCAAACUCAAUGUGAAUAUAGUAAAAGAUGUUAUAGCAAGUAUGGCUAUGGUAGGAAUUUUGUCAUGCUAGGAACUCAUCAUGUGAUUUGCAAGUUUUUCAAAAUAAAUCUCUAGAACUUAGUGUAUUAGGAACAAGAUAAACAGUAGCUCAAAUUUAUAUCAUGCCUUUCUCUUACCUAGACUUUAGUUUUAUGUUUCCCAUAGAUAGCAAUUUUAGUUUUAGUAAUUCCUAGAAGAACUCUAAUAUAAAAGCUAGGUACUUGAAAGUAAGCAAACAAAGCAACUGUUCAUCAUUUCCAUCAAGCAUCUUUUUGGUCUUUUUAUUUUUCUAGAGAUUAACUCUUGGCAGAUAAAUAAGCACACUUGUCCACACACUCUUUUUAUUUUGUUUUCAUGUUUAUAGAAUGCAGUAAAUUAAAGCAAGAAAAUAUUUAUUGGGUUUUCUAAGUUUUUCUUAUAUAUAAUCAAGACACUAAAACAGAAAAGAAUAAAUAAGAAGAGCAAAUAAAAACUUACUUGACAAAAUGGGAAAGAACUCUCCCAAGCUGGAUGUUGUUGUCGGUCUUACCUAAUGUUCCAGAAUUGCAUCAUGGUGGUGAUGUUGUCGUUCAUUGUUGUGGUGUCUUGUCUCAGUUCUUGUACUGCAGUGGCGUGGUCCUGGUUCCAUUUUUGUUGCUGUUCCAGGAGUCGUCCAUGUUCUGCUUGCGUAUUCUAGAUGUCGAGGAGGGUGUUGUCGGUACGGGUGAAGAAAGUGCCGGCCUCUUGGUAGUAGUCGUUUGUGAAAGCAUAAGAGGCGUCGGAAUAUCGUCCUGCAUCGAAUUGGAGCGGAGAUCUGGAUCCUGAAGCUCCAUAUGGAUCAGUGGAGUACCUGCCCGUAUGGAAAGGCGGGUUUGUCCACUGGUGAUCUUGGCUCUCCUACCAUGUCUCUUGUGUUGGCUCUUGUGGUUGAGCAUGUCGAACCCGUGUGUCCCGAAGGACUCAAGGGUUGUAGUCGCAAUAAUGCAGGUGCGCUGCUUCUUCCGGCCCGGGAUCAGCUCCAUACCAGGUGCGUUCUUGAUGGGUGGUCAUGCUUUCGGAUGCCACUCGUUGUGGAGCUCUCUGGUUUACCGGUGUCACUGCAAUUUCAAUCAAAUAAUUUUGAACAACAUAGAGGCCAAGGUUCGGGUUAGGUAACCGAAUCUUGCCUUUAUUAUCGUAUAACAUAUACAUUAUGUUCCCCUCUUUCUUUAACAUCCAAGCUUGCCUAAAAGUGUCAUAUCCAUGAUAUAUUCGUAACUCGUCUAUGAAUUCCAAUGAUGAGUUUUCUAGCAAAUGAAGACUAGAGGCUAGACGAGUGAUAAGUGAAGUACACCCUACUGGUCCCAGAAGUCUAGGUACACUAAGCCAAUGAGAAACCAAAAGUGUAACAGGUGAAGUGGGUACUUUAUUUAUAGCAGCAUAUAGAAGUUGUAAAUCUCCUACUCUUACUUUUCUAAUAUCAUCACGAUAGAAAAGAUUGUAUCCAAGUCAUUUGUGGAACAUCCUAAGAGUGGGGUGUUCCAUGUCACUGGUUCGGGCUUGACUAUAAAACUCAUCUCUAGAUAUCCCUUUCCAGAACUGGUGUCUCUCAAAAUUGGGUAAGUCGGAGUCAAUGUUCAAGAUGCAUCUUGAAGACAAACCGAGAUGGUCGCUCAGUUCUCUCCAAGACAACAUAAUGUCCUGUUUAAACAUCCGAAAAGCAAUUCCCCCUCAUAGUAUUGUAAUGUGCAAAGAAAUUCAAGGGUGAGAAGACGGGAACCCAGCUCAGUUAUGUUCCAAAAAUUUGUCCAUCCCACCAUCUAGAAAAUCAAAUCGAAUUCAGUAUCCAUACCUGUUUCUUGUAGCAAGAUAGGAUCAAGAGGGGGGGUGUGAAUGAAAUCUUUGUUCUUUAGCUGCUGGUAAACUUCCUUUUCUCUGCGGGUCUUCAGUCCAAUGUCUCAUAUCUUGAGGAGGACCUUGACUUGUGGAUUAGAUGAAGAUGGCAGAGCUUGCGUGGGUGUUGGGUCGACGCUGAUCUCUGAGGAGUGUCGGGAUGAACUCCUUGUACCUAUGUUCUUGAGGACCUUCCCUGCGUUCUUCACCUUCUUAAACAUCCUGUAGACAAAAGUUGACACACACACAACUAGUGGAAAAUGUGAGAGAAAAUGUUAGGGGUCAGCUGUCCGAAAUGUCAGUAGUCCAGGGGUUAGUCGCUUAAGAUAAGUUUUUAUUUUGGCAGCACCUCCCCCUAAACAACUUUUACUUCCGCUUUGGACAGCGGGAUCACUACUUACUAGGUGAACCUCACUCUCUUACUCAGAGACUACCAACCUCUCUUCCACUCUUCUCUUCCCCUCUACUCUCUUCUUUCUUCACUACAAGAGCUCCUUCUCUGGAAACUGAAACUUGCGUGGUUUUCUAGGAGGCUAGUGUGAUGGAGAUGGAGGCAGGAGGUGGUAAUUUAUAGGAGGAAAGGGGGACAGGGCGGGCGCCCUCUAUAGGUGGGUGGGCGCCCAGCUUUGGUGGCCAUCCUGGCUGCCUUUUCUCCACUCCCUCCUUUGCUUGGCUCUUACGCAGAAUAAUAGUUUAAUGGUGGUGGUUAGUCGGUGGAAAAGUGCUGGUGAGUGGAGAUAUGUUGGUGGAUCAAAUAAUGUGAUGGGAUGUGUGUGAGGUGUGGUGUAUGACAUGUGGGACCCAAGGGGUAUGGGUCAUGUUUCUAGAAGGUUGAUUAAAUAUAAUGCAGGAAAAGCUAUGAGAAUUAAAACUUAUUGAAAAUGAUCAUGGAAAAAUAUUUUUGUGCCUCCACAAUAAUUAAUAAAUGUGGGUUGUUACACACCACAAAUAUUACUUAUAUGGGGCUUUUUGAUAAUGCUAUGAAUAAAUAUGGAUAAUGCAAGAAUUAAAUAUGCAGAAAUUUGAUGAUGCAGAUAAAUACCGAUUUACCUCAUGGUGAGGGUUUGGGAUUUUUAGGUCCCCCAAGCUAGACCUCCAAAUCUUUUAAUCUUAUGAAUUACCUUCCUCCGGAUAUGGUGUCUCCAGUGGUUCUUCUUCAUGAACUUCCUUCACUGUAGAGUCUCUCUCUGGUCUGGGCUGUGAAGUGUACUUCUUUUCCAUUUAUGUUGAACUUGAUUUCUCCCUUCCCGACAUCAAUGUGGGCAUUGGCAGUGCUCAGAAAUGGCCUUCCAAGGAUGAUGGACACUUUUGAGUCAGGACUCAUGUCCAGUACCACGAAGUCUACUGGCACAAGAAAAUCUCUUAUCUUGACUGGAAUGUUUUUGGCAAUGCCCAACGGAUGUCGAACUGAUUGAUCUGCUAGUUGUAGGCACAUUGAUGUUGGUUCUAGGGUCGUAUGCUCAAGCUUCUCGUAGACUGAUGUUGGCAUCACACUGACACUUGCUCCGAGAUCACAAAGUGCAUUGUUGAAGUGUUGGUUUCUGAUUGAGCAAUCAAUAGUGAGACAUCCUAGAUCCUUCUUCUUCCUUGGUGGUUUGUUGAGGAUGGCCACACUACAUUCUUCUGUCAGCUUGAUAACCUUAGUGGUGGGCAGUGGUCUCUUCUUGUUAAGAAUAUCUGUAAUGUACUUUGCAUAUGUGGGUACCUGUAUGGCAUCAAGUAGAGGUAUGUUGACAUAUAAUUUCUGAAUGACCUCUAUAAACUUACCAAACUGCUCAUCCGACUGCAGUCCUCUGUUUCUUCUGGGAAAUGGCAAAUAGUUGGUGUCAUAAAAAUCUUUCCUCAUUUCUCUAGUACUUGGUGGUUGUAGCAGAUCUUCUGCUUCAACUGGGCUUUCUUCUUCUAUUACUGCUGGUUGCACUGGUGCUGAUGUUCUCUAUUUUUCUUUUGGGUAUGGGGGAUCCCUGGUGGCUUUGCCUCCUCUAGUAGUUAUGUUCUUUACCUGCUCAACGUUAGUGGCAACAGGCAAUGCAGCAGCUAGCUCUAUUAAUUUAAGCUCUACCCUUUUAUUAAGAAUGUUUUGCUCAUCAAAGGCAGUUAAUAGAAAAUCCAUUUUAUUGUGUAUAUCUUUUAGAGAUGAUACAUUUGUUAUCUAGCCUUUGUUUAACUCUAUCAUUAGUUUUUAUUUGUUGAGCAAUUAUAUCUUUUAAUGAAAGUUGCUUGAAAGUAUUACCUGAAUUCAUACCUUUGCUAUUGGGUUGACUUGAGGUAGGUUGAUAUUUGUAUGCUGUCUCAAUGGCCCUUUGAUCUUCUUUGAACUUGGCCCUCUGGUCAAUCCAAUGGAGCAAAUUUUCCAUCUUGGUUGAUAGUGAAUUUACUUCUUCUGGUAUUUCUUCAGUUUGAUGACAUUGUUGAGCUUUAUCUUGGAACCAGCUUUGGUUUUCUGCUAUCUUAUCCAAAAGUAUCUCUGCUUUUCCAUUUGUAAGCUCCAAGAAUGAUCCUUUAGCAGAUGCAUCUAGGCACUCACGAGCCUUUUGGGUUAAUCCAGGGCAAAAGGUCUGCAUAAGUAACCAUGUGGCCAUUCCAUGGUGAGGACAAUAUGAUAUGUAUCCUUGAAAACGCUCCCAUGCUUCUUGAAUGGUUUAUGUCUUCAGCUGUUGGAAACUGACAAUAUUUCUUCUUAAGGCAGUUGUCUUGCCCAUUGGGAAAAACUGUAACACCCCAGUGUUAUGGUUGCAUAAAUCAUAUGCAUAGCAUGAGCAUCAUCAUCUAUUCAAGCAUAUCAUGAUCAUCAUCUAUCUUGAGCCAUGUCAUUCCAUGCAAAUAUGUGAUUUAAAUUGUUUAAGUAGUCUUCCUAUGCUUAUGCUUGAGUGAACCAUGCUUGUGUUUAUGCUCUAUGCCUUGGUACUUAGUUUAUCUAUGCUUAACUCAACCUUGGGAACAAUGUUCAUGUUGAUCACUUCUCCAAAAUAAUCACAUAAGUCAUACUUAUACAAAUAGGCUCUAGAAACCUCUUUUGCUUAGGCUUUUAAAAAGUGUUUCAUAAAAUAUUUGCAUGUCAAAACUUUUUACAGCAAAGUUGUAGAAAAUUUUAUAAGGAACAAAAGUUGUUUUAUAGCCAUCUCAUUAAAAUGACCACAUCUAGCUCAAAAUUGAUCCACAAGGCAGAUUUGGGGCUGUUUCCAACACUUGGGAAAUUUUUCCAAGUCCUGGAAUGAAAACAGUUUGCUCGAUCGGUUUUGAAAACUCUAUAUCUCUCAAUCCAGGCCGAUCUGACUUUUGCUAUAGUUGACAAUGUUGUAGAACUCGAUUGGAACUCUAACUUUGUCAACUGCAUCAUCUUCUAACUCAGGCUGGUUUGGGAGUUAUUCGUUGCUGAAGUCGCUCUGUCAGUCGGUCAUCGUGUUCUCUGAAUCAGACGCGAGCUCGCCGACGUGGCCGACCGGCGACAGAGCAACGGCGACAUUUGGCACCCGUACGCCGCUCCUGGCCCCGCUCGUUAGCUUCCAGCGUGCGCAUGUCCUCCACGGCGACGCCCUGAGCAGAGUGGACGCGUCCAUUUCCUCUCUGCCUCGCCUCUCUCGCCAGAAGCGCGCCUGCAGCGAGCUCACCGUCGCGAGCUCACUCCGGCAAGCUCGUGUGUGCUCCUCGCUGCAUAGCAAUGCACCAAACUCCACCCAUAGCUCCGCCGUGAGCCGCUCUCCACUCUCCACCCUCUAGCUCGCCGGGAAACCCACCGGUGAGCCGCCAUUUCCUUCUUCCCCCAAAUCAGGUCGCCGUGACCAUCUUUUCCGGCGAACUCAAUGCUGGGCUCCUCGGAGCCUCCCAUCUCCUUUGGUUAGGUUCUAGAGGUAGCUUAGGUCCUUAGCUAGCGGUUGCACCUCUCGGUGGACGCUCUACCGCACCCACCGUCGCCGGACACGAUGCGCAGCGCCGCCGUGUUUCCGCCGGAGUUGGGGUCUUCCGUGGCCAGCACGUUCCACGACGUUUCAAGCCAAGCCGCGUACCUUGGAAGCUUCGCCGUAGUCCGCUGGUGCUGUAGGAAACCCUAGGUCACGCUCUACCGGCCUGAGGGCUCCGGUGUAACGCCGAGCACCUCCGCCGAGCCGCCAUGAUCGACGGCGAGCCAUUUCUGGUGGCUCCGCCGUGGGGAAAAGGGGGUCAAUCGAGUCGCUAGAGUCUGGGGAUCACAAUGGUGCCCUUGGUUUGGCCGGAGACCUCGCCGUCGCGGAGAAAUCGCCGGCGAGAGUCGCCUCGGCGGUGAGGAAGAUGACCCUGACAUGCGGGGUCCACUGUUAGUGUCACCUCACUUCCCUCCUUUUCUUUUAUUCAAAUCCUGAUUUUUGGCUUUCUUACAAAAAUCAUAUCUCCAGUUUCUGGGAUCCAAAAAUUGUGAAACCAAUUUUUUGGUAUUCCUUGAGAUGGCUAGUUUUUAAUAAAAAUAUAAAAUGAACCAUGUUUUCUGAGAAAAAUAUUUAUUAGGAUUUAAUCUUGUUAUUCAUGAGUAAAUUUAUAUCUCUUGUUAUACUGCUUAUUUUGCUACGAAAUUUUUAUGGUAGUCUCUGUGUGGUACUAGAAGGCUUUGAUAAAUAUUUCAUGAUUUUUGGAAUACUGCAGCUUUGAUAUGUAAUUUAUGUUUGAGAUUUGGCUUGUUUCCUUAAUUAAAUCAUAUAAAAUAAUUGGUGCUUAUGCUGGUGCUCUACUUUGGUGGUAAACUUGUUUAUGGUAUUCUUAAUAUGUAAAUAAUCUGAAAUCUGUUGUUUGGCACAAUGUAAGUCAUGUUUCUGAAUUUAUGUAAUACACACCUUGUCACAUAUUAAAUGCAUAUCUUUAAUUUGGUAUGUGCAAUUGCUUUGAAAUUUUUAUGGGAAUGUCACAAUGCUAUACAUGUGCUUCUGUAAUUUUUGUAGAGUUUUCUGAGCACAUUUGCUAGUAUCUUAUAAUUAAGUCCUUUUAUAGAAUUAAAUGGUUAAAUGCAUCAUUAUUAAAUAUCUAGGGGUUAACAUAUGUCGAUCUGGUAACCUUGUGAUAUGCUUGUGCUUAUAAGUCAUGUGGUUGACACUAUUUAUGCUUUGGCUAUGUCUUUAAAUAAUUAAUUGGUGGGUUAAAGGCUGUUCUGGACAGCAAGGGAGUAAUUCAACUUUUACUUAUUGAUAUCUGAGUUUUCUGGGGAACUUGUCUAAAUCAAAGUUGUUGUAAACUUCAUGAGCUAGCUGUGGUUUAAAUUUGGGAUCAAUUGGUCCAGUAGUUUGAAAGUUAUGGCUGUUCCAAGUUGGGUUCCAGAAAUGGGUACUCUUUGUUUUUCUGGGACAGAACCUGGAACUUUGUUUAAAUGGCUUGUUUAACUUAUGAAUCUUGCUGUGAUGUUUAAAGAUGAUUUGUAGACAAUUUCAUGAGCUUUCCAGAAUGUCUUCACUCAUGUUUGUUGGAUCUGCCUAGCACUAGUUAUGACCUGUUUACUGAGCUAAUCCUGUUAUGUGAUGCUUGCUGUUCUAGUACUUGGUAGAUUCUGAUCAGUUAACUUACUACCUUGUGUGAACUGUUAUAACCAUUACUCCGUAAAUGCGUGUCCAGUGAGUUUAUUUAUGUGUCAAGCAUUCAUCCUCUUUUAUGCAUCAUCUUAUUAGUUGAGCAUGCAAUAGGUGCAUCGGACGCGACCGCUUCCUUCGAGCUCCAAGCGAACCCCGAAGGCCAGGAGGGCAGCCAGGAGGUGGAGGUCCAGCUAGUCGGACUCGAGGAGCCCGAAGAAGAAGUUGAGUGCCCAAACCACGAGCCAGCCUCGUUCGUGAAAGGCAAGCCCCGGAGCAUCCUAAGUCUCCCUUUACUUUCAAAAGUUUACUUGAAUAUGUUAUAUUUAUUGAUGCAUUAAGUAUAGGAGUUGUGAUGAAACCUUUGCUGCACUUUACUCCAUCCUUGUCCAGAUAACUUACCCUACCCUGGUUGUAGAGUUAGGAUCGAGUAGCAGCUUAGCCAUGCUUAAUCGGUAGAAGUCGGGUGAUUUCCUGUCACCUGCGCGAUAUAGGGUUGUGUCGGAUCACGAUGGACUAUAUGUGCUAUCGUGGGUGGAACCGGAUUAAUUUGACUUAAGCAGGGCGGAGUUUUGCAAGGUUGUAGUAACUCCGUCUGUGGCAGCUAAGGACCGACCGUUGUACGUCCUCUUGUCAUGUUGAACGCAUGCCUGACACUUAGUUGGCUGGAUAACUCGUUCCGACCGCGAAGCCGAGUAAUAUGACUCAGGCCGGAAGACCGGCAAGUAUAAAGUGCGCACUACCGGAGGAAGUGCGGUGUGCGGGGGACCAUUGGCGUAAGCCCAAAGGCAGGUGAGUUAAAAUUCCUGACCUCCCUGGCAGAGUGGUAGCCCUGGGAGUGCGGCGCUGAUCGGAGCCGCAAUUCCUGAGUCGUACCAAAGGUGACCUAUUGGCUCUCGACGGGGGAUGCUUGGGUGAGUGCUAGGAAUACCCCUCCAGCUGGAUAGGAAUUCGAUUCGAAUCGCCGUCUCUCCCGGUCAGUGAGAACUUGACAGAGCAGCGGCAAACGUAGCAUUCACUAAUGAACUUGGUUCAUGAUAAUGAUGUGUGGCAGAACCCCCUAAGUGUUUGGGCCCACCGGCACCUGCCAUUGUCCUAAGGACCUCUGACGGUGAUGCCGGGAGUCCUCCCACUUUAGAAGUCCGAUGAGUCUUACUGUGCGCUCAUUCCACUGCUACCUGUGGUGUACCAAGCUGACUCGUCCUGACCACUGAUAAUGGUCAACAACGAGAACUGCUUCUUCUCGCCCUUACAGGAUAGCAAGUGGCCACCUUAACACCAGGAUCAUUCGUUGCGAAGAUAAAGCAGUAACACAACGACACAAGACCAAAAUAGUAUUUCAGAGUGAAACAGCGGAAGUAUUACAUAACAUAAUUUACAAAAGGAGUUCUUCCAAAUAACAGAGUGUUAUUACAAGCCUGGUCCAGCGGAGCAACUUAAACUUUAGUAGAGACAAAACAAAUUUACAGACCCUACCCAUGGGUCACGCUCACUCUUCUUCGUCGUCAACCUCGACGACGGUCACACAACAGGGUCCGAAACAAGUCGGCUCCUGAGCUUCACCUGCAACAGGGGUAUUGAAACCCUGAGUACGGGAGUACUCAACAAGACUUAUCCGACAGAAAAAGAGGAGAAUUUAGGGAUGCAGGCUUAGGGUAGACAAGGUGUGGCUGAGCAAGGAGCCAAAGUGUUUUGCGGGAAAGCUUACUAGUAGUGCAUCCUUAUUUUCAAGUUUUACCCUGAAUUCCUCCCUUGCGGGGGCAGAAGAAUUCGAGGAUAGUCUAACUAGUUGUUCCCCACAGACGAACCCGUGAGUUCCUAAUCCUAUCAUUAAGUAUUAUUUAUUGAUGGUCAUAGCUUCAUGUCGCUAUGAGUCCGGGAAUUGGGAUCCGAACCUCAUGAGACAUUUUCCCCUUUCUCAUUAUAUCACUUAGUUGCAUAUUUAACUACGAUGAGGGUCGAAGGAAUUGAGUCUCCCAAUCGGGGAGCAACGACGAUUCGAAUCGCUUAGCAAUCCAGCUGGAGUUCCUAACCACCCGACAUAUGUAGAACCAAAUCUUGCAUAUAUCAACCCAAAUCAAGCUCUCCCCAAAUUUGACCAGGUUCGCGGCACCCGAGAGCACAGUACCCCACCAUCCUACAGCCGAUCUAGAUGUUUUCCGGUCAUCUCAGAUCCGUAAGGUGGGUACACACUACUCUCGCCAUCUUUCCACUCCCAGUGCGCGAGUAGCUGUUCGCGUCGAGGGAUCACGAGACCGGGCUUACCCGUGGCAAGUGGCUAGUACUAUAAAUUCUCAACCCAGCAGGCCAUCAACGGACCGGUCCUUAACCGACACAGUUGGAGACACUACUUUAAGACUCCAUUCUUAAAGCAAGUCCACCGACCGGUCUCAAGUUGAAAUAUCAUUGGCCAUAAGUGUAUCCCACAACAACCCUUCAAACUUUCUUGUUUGAAAACCUAUCUAGUAGCAGGGCUAAGCAUCGCUACGCAGUUUUAAAAUAAAACAGGUGUCAAGGACAGGAUAACAAAUAUCAAGGUAGUAAAUGCAGCAAGUAGGUUAACCCAAUUCUCAACUACCUAAUGCAGCAUUUUCAAUUCAUAAGUGAUAAAAGAUUUAAAACAUCCAAGGAGGGGUUAAUGCAUCCGGGGCUUGCCUUGGUUGCAGGGCAGAGAGGGACCCUCGGAGACUUCCCAAGUCUCGGAUCCGACUUCCUCGAACGGAGCACCGACCUCAGGGUUUGGUUCAACGGGCGCUCCUUCGGUCACGGACACUAUACGCAAAAUGAUGAAUGCUUAUGAUAUGCGUAUGGCAAAUAUGCAAGAUGGACCGAAUUAAGUACGAUUUGCCUAUUUAAUGCAAUACAGAAUUGUCACUAAAUAAAGUUGUUUAAUAACUUAAUAUUUUUACCCAAGAGGUUUCAUCUGUAAAUUAAGACUUUACUUAAUUCAUAAUUAUCUUACAUUAAGUAAUUAUUAAACCUAUUUACCUUAAUUAAUUCUUAAUUAAUUACUAAUGACAGUAAUUAAGCAUUAAGGCUAAAUAAUAAUUAAAUGCCAAAGGUCAUUAGGGUUAAUGACCUUAGGUCAUCACACAAUCCCAAAAUCACUCAACCCUAAUUAUGAGGAUUUAAAUAAUCACUAUUUAAUUAUUUUGGAAUUAUUAUUUAAGUACUAAAUAAGGGUUUAUUAGUAUUCUAAUCAAACAUUAUCCAAAUGCCACCAAAUUUUGUGUGGAGCCAGGGAAUAAUAUCCAGAGGCUCCCCACAAUUUUUGGUGAUUUUUGGACAUACAAAUAAAUUAUUAAAAUUCCUAGAAGUUUUAUUCAUUAGUUAAAAGAGCAAAUUUUUACAAACAUGUAAACUACCAGAAAACAGAACUUAAUAUUUUUCUUGGGUUCUAUUUAUUUCAGAGAAUCUACACAAAAAUUUCCAUGAUUUUUGGAUUAGCACCUGAUUUAUUACACAAUUUCAAACAUCAAGCAAUUUUAAUCAAAAAGGAAAAAGAAAAACACCACUGCUGCGCAGGCGGCCCACUGGGACACAGCCCAAGUCGGCCUGGGAGCGAUCUCCUGCGCGCGCUGCGGCCCACAACGGCGCUGCGCAGGCGGACCCCUGGUCCGGCCCAUGCGGGCGUCGCGCGCGCGCUCCCCUCCUCUCUCGUGGACACUGACGAGCGGGCCCCGCUCGUCAGCUCCGUCUCCCUCGCAGACGGCGGCCCUGCCGCGCUCCCGGCUGCCGCUGGUGAGGUCCCAGCCCCACACCAGGGUGCGCAUCGGCUGCGCCUUGAGCUUGCGACUCCAGAGGUACGGCCUGAGGACGCUCUACCGUCCUUCUCCUACCUCGGCCACGCGAAAGGCGGCGGCCGCCCUGGCCGACCGCCGGCCGGCCACUAGGGCCCGGUAGAGUGUAAACGGGUGGCCUAGCGAGCUUCCGCGGGAAUUGGAAAGAGUGGUGCUCACGCUGCAAGGCGCGGGGAAGCAGCUGAAGCCGCUGGUGACGGGAGCAGUGUCGUCGGGCGGGAGCUCUGGCUCCGGUGAGGUCGUCUCGGUGGCCCUGUUCACGUCCAAGGAGGGAAAACGAGCGCAUGAGCACCGGGGAAACAAGAAGAGCUCGAAACGACCGCCUUCAAGGCGUGGUACCGACUGGAGCAGCGUGUCCACGUGAAGGAUUCCUCGGCGGCGACCCUGGCCGGAGUUGGAGAAGAGAGGGGGUGUUCCGGCGAUUGAGUGGACUAGGGAGUGAGCUCGGAGGUGCACUGGGUUCGCAAGGAGGUGGCGGAUGCUAUGGACCGGUCAAUUUAGCUCGGGAAGGAUUGGUUGCGGUGAAUUGCAAAGAGAAGCUCGUCGGGUUCUCUGGCUCAGAACAGGGGAGACGCGCGGCGGCGCCCACGCUGGUGCUCAAAGGGGAGAAGGAGAUGAGCCGAGGGCGUCCACGUUGCCUGGCGACGCAGGCAAGCAGGCAGCUGCGUGCCCGCACGGGCGCUCGCGGUGCUGCGCGCACGGCGGCCGCGUUGGACAGGGAGCUAGUGAUCCCUAUCGGGUCACUGUAGCAACCCUUAUCCCCUCUUUUCUGAAUUUUGUGAAAUUCAGCCGAAAUUUGAACUGGAGUCAAAUUUGUGUCAAAACAAAAGUUGUUCCAAAUUUUAUAAGCUACAAAACAUGUUUUGGUGACCAGAGCUGAUUUUGAGUGUAACAGGGUGAAUUUGGCCAAAACAGUUUGAAAAUCAAACUCAAAUCAAAGAAAUUCAAAUUUUUGAUUUGGGGACAAAACAGGGUUUCCAAAAUUACUUUUGUUUUUCCUAAACAACUUGAAAAACUCCCAACAUGAAAGUUGCUCAACUUUUUGUGCUCUACAACUUUCAUGUUGUCCACUUUUCCAAAUUCCAAAUGGAUUUUGAAUUGGGGGUUUAAUUUGGAAAAGGGGACACUUUUCGGAAAUCUGUAUUUUCAAAAUUACUUUGAAUUUUGUAUUGAAACUUCAAAAACUCAAAACACCAAAGUUGUACAUCUUGCCAAGAGCUACAACUUUGCUUUUGAACUCAACCUCAAAUUUGGCUUAGUUUUUGAAUUACACAAAAGGGGGCAGUUCUAAGGUUCAAAAAAUCAGGGUUUUCCCCCCUUAGCUCUUCGGAAAUUUUUCACCCUAGGGUUUUAGCAUCCAACACAAGCAUCCAACACAAUGUAAGUACACUUUAAUUCCCUAAGCACAAGCACUCAAAGUAAACUUAUUUUAAAUUGAUGCAUACUAAUGUGCUUUAACAAUUAUGAUUUGCAAUGCUCAUGAUGACAUGAUCCGUUUUUAGUAACCGUAACAUCAGGGAUGUUACAUGAUGAUAGCAAGGAAGAACAUAUGAUGAACUUGAUAUGGUUAUUAUUGCUUGUAAUAAUAAAGUGAAGUGCUUUAGUACAGGUGCUAAUCUAGUGGUAGGCUGAUAUUGAAUAAAUAUGGGGCUCUCACAAUAACUUAGUUAUAAUGUAAGCUUUUGGCAAAUGUUGAGUCAACCAACUCCACUUGAUGUUAGCCUUGCAUGAUCCUUGGCGUCUUUUAUGUUUUUACUAGACGGGUAAGUCUAGCUGAGUACAUUCUCGUACUCAGGGUUAUUCCCACCUGUUGUAGAUGACAUCUUUUAUGACGGCUUCUGCAAGACCUGUCUCCAUCCCGCUAGGGAUGAGGACUAAUCGUUGGGCACGGUUCUCUAACAAACUCGUACCUGCUGCUUUUGGAUGGAUGGCAUGAGACUCUGGCAAUAACAAGAACUUGUGAACUGAACUUUGAACAAGUGUGUGUAAUUAUUUUACUUCCGCUACUUCAAACAUGUGUUGUAAUAACUUAAUAACUCUGAUGUGGUGCCGCUUCGACGGCAAUGAAUGACUAUGUAACCGUUGUGUUGUGCUGAAUUAUUACGAUCUUGGUUUGUUGCAAGUUGGUUUGAAGUCCUUCAUGAUUUUGAUUGACUACCGGGAUUAUAUGGGCUCAAGUUUGGAAACUUGAUUGCUGGCCGAUCGUUUCUACACUUGAACUCUUAUAAUUUGGUCGGUUCUGUGACAGCUGGUAUUGGAGCAAGUUCAGCAUUAUAAAUGCAGUGGUUGUGUAUUUAAAAAGAAAACAUAAGAGUUUCUAAAUAAAAUGGUAAAACAAUACUUAUGUUAUGCCAGUGGUCGAAUCCUCCUUGCCCAUAUAAGGACUAUAGGUGGCUAUUUAAGUACUGACUUGGGGGGUUUAAUUUUUCCAUCUCCGGCAGUACUCAGGUAUGGAUGUGUGAUGACCGCACUACGCUACCCUGUGGUCUAAUGGUGGAGGUAGCCUUCAUAUAUGAAUUAGCCACAUAUGUCGCUAGAUUUAAAUUAUGCAACGUCGCACCUACGCUCUGGUAAGUGUGAGCUGUGAGAGCAUGAUCGUCCAAACGGCGGUCUAGGGGAGUGUUCGCGGUGGUCUUCUGGAGUGGUUACAUGUCAAAACCAUGGAACCACGAAAAAAACUUAAUUGGGGAGUAUUUAAUUUCUCGGGUAGCUGUGGUGUCAUUGUUUGUGCAUGUUGGACAUGUCCAAGCAAUGUACACUUAGUUUACUGCUUUCUUGAGUGAUAUAUUGGGAACUGUUGGGCUGAAAUGAAGUUUUCUGUAGGUACUCUAACAGCGCACGUGUAAAUCACUAGUUAUCGUAUCGAGAGACGAAUGUAUGCCACCGUAUAUCCAUUAGAAUAUUAAUUUUCUAAGUUUGUGAGGACGUACGGUUCGUGCAUGCAUCAUGUCACAUUCACACUUACAUUCUGUCUACUCCUUCCCUUACAAUGUCAUCCCUUUUAAUUAAAUAAAUGUUGCUUAAACUAAUCCUCUUUCACCCAUGGUAUUCCUAUUCUUUUCCACAGAUGGACGCACCUGCUUCACCCGGUCCCAGUGACACUUUCUUGAGCGAGUUUGGCACUCCUACCUUGCUCUGGAGAGUGCUACAGUCGGUAGGGUAUACUGAGCCACCUCAGUAUUCUUGGUGGGAGUUGGAUAUGACAGGAGAGUUGCAGUGGUUUGCUGUGCAGGAAGUUGUCCCUCCACAUGGGGGCAAGCCUGCAUGGACAGGGUGGACCUGUAGCUCAGACGGGCAGACUCCUUGGGAGGCAGCUCAGGUUGCAGCCCAGACUAUCCUACUCGAUAUCUGUCAGAGGUGUGGCGAUGAGCUGACAGGAGGACCAGCGGCCUCAAUUCCCCGUGCUGACCCAGCAGCAGCGGAGUGGAAAUAGACUGAUGGUUGUGCUUUGGUCCGAGGCAGGGGAGAGCGAGCUGAUAGUUCUAGUCCUGCUAUGAGUGCUACGAUGGCUGUGCUCAAGCUGAUCAGUCAGCGAGAGGGCACCUAUGCACAGGUGAUGGUGGCUGUUCACCAGACUCAGGAGAUGCAAUGGAAGGCUGAAAAGCGUGCUCGCAAGUUUCGCAAGCAAGCUAGACUCUUGGAGCAAGCUCAGAAGGACCGCAAUGACUGGGAAGACAUUGCGGAGUACUGUAGGCAGCAGUGGGUGAAGGCCAUUAGGGAGAGAGAUCAUAAGCAGGAUCAGAUGAGUCAGUUGGAUCGAGAGAGGGAGACAGUGCAGGAGCGCUUGGUGCAGAUCACUCGUGAGAGGGACACUGCACUCCGCGUGUUGGAGAAUAGGCGCCGGGCAUGGGAGAUGCACCGAAUUCAGUCUCUUGAGCGGGAGAACUAUCUGUAGGAUCAGAUUGAGGCUGGUCUUGUGGAGAUUCACCGUCUCAACAACUUGCUACACCCUAUUCCUCGCCCUAUACCCGUGUAUCUAGAGGUGGGACCUCAGGUGAUUGUGGCCGAUGAUGAUGGUAUGGAGGUCGAUGGACCAGCAGCGGCUGCACCACCCUUGCACGAGGACGUGGAGGACGAGGAGCUUGAGCCAGUUAGCGACGAGGAUGGAGAGGCGAUCUUCGACGCUGACUCGGACGACGAGUCUAGAGUGUAGGGAGUAGUGGGUAGUGUUAUGUGAGGAUCUUCUGUAGUCUGGCAGCUAGCGGUGAUGCUUUUGUACCAAUGUUGUAAUCCAGAACUUUGACCUUGACUCAUGGCAUGUGCUGUGAUGGUGUAAUAACUUUAUGGACCCAAUGUGCAAUCUUAACAUGUUCGUUAUGUUAUGAUGAUGUUUUCCGUUGUGGUGCAUAUUGUGAAUAUCUCUGUCAUGUGUUGGAUUGGUGAUGUUGUUUUGUGGAAUUGAAUUAUUGUGCCUUUUCUGUAAAGCUAUUCUCUCGAAUACUUUCAGGCAUAAAUAUAAGUUCUUUUGUGGCAAAUCUUGUCAUCAUCAAUGCUCACUGACUUUGUCUUUACAGAUGCCUCGUGGCACCCGAGGUGUGGAACAGCGUGCAAACAUGAAUCCACCCCCUCCUCCACCACCAAAUCUAGCUGAGCUAAUACAAAUGAUGGUGGAAAAUCAGAGGAUGCUCACUGAGACCAUCAAUCGGAUGGCGAAUCUGGGUGGUCGUAAUGCACAUGAAGGGCCAGCUUCUAACCAGUAUAGUAGCUUCAAGGACUUCAUGGAUACGAAACCCCCACCUUUCAGAGAAGCUGAAGAACCCCUUCAAGCUGAAGAAUGGCUGAACACGGUGGAACAAAAGUUCCGCUUGCUGCGGUUGACGGAAGAUUUGAAGGCAGAGUAUGCACCUCAUCAACUGCAAGGUCCAGCAGGCAUCUGGUGGAAUCAGUAUCGGGAAGCUCUUCCAGCUGACACUGUGCUUGACUGGAAUAUUUUCCGUGAGGCUUUCAAGGGGCAUUUCAUUCCUCCUGGUGUCAUGGAGAUGAAGCAUACCGAGUUUAUGCAGUUGACUCAGGGCAACAAAACUAUGAAGGAGUAUUUGCAUGCUUUCAAUCAUUUGUUGAGAUACGCUCCUGAGUUUGUGAACACUGAGGCGAAGAAGAUUGCUAGCUUCAAACGGGGUCUUGGCCCCAAGUUGCUGAAGACUAUGGGCCGCACUAAGUGUGCAACUUUCAAUGAGUUUGUCAGUGAUGCUCUUACCCAAGAGAACUAUAAUACUGUGUACACUGCGACCAAGACUCGCAAGAGGGCUUUUGAAGCCGGGGCAUGGGCAUCUCAGUCCAAGGCUCCAGUGGUAGCUAGACCACCGGUUCGUGCUCCAACUCCUAACUAGCGGUAUCGCCCACCUGUGAAGAAGAAUGAGGCAAAGACGGGUUUCCGCAAGGGUUACUCCAUUGCUCUUCCUAGGGGUAACACAGGUCCCAACUAUGCCAAGACUCCACCUGCCAACCGUCCGUGCUGGAACUGCAAUCAGACCGGGCAUUGGCAGAGCAACUGUCCUUACCCGCGAAAGAAGGUCAAUCAACGAAACAUCUGUCAGGGGCGUGUUCACUACACCACUGUGGAAGCAAUCCCUGCUGGUGAGGUAGUUACGGCUGGUAAGUUUCUGGUUAACCAAUGUGAUGCACUUGUGCUUUUUGAUUCAGGAGCAUCACAUUCUUUUGUGAGUUCCAAAUUUGUGUCUAAGCAUAAUCUCAAGGCAUUUACACUUGAUAAGGGCAGUUAUUGUAUUAGUGCUGCUGGAAAUGAUAUUUCCACCAAUCAAUUGGUUUUGGGGGCAACUCUGGAAAUAGGAGGCUAUCAGUUUCUUGCUAAUUUGGUUGUUCUACCCGGUGUGGGCAUAGAUGUAAUUCUGGGGAUGAAGUGGAUGAGUGGUAAUGGAGUUCUUGUCGACACCACCACUCGUGUAGUGAUGUUGAAAGACCCGAAUACCAAGGAUGCAUUUCUAGUGCAACUCCCUCGUGAUAUUCAAAUCCAUAGCACUAUGAAUGCAGUUACAUCUAAGGCUAUUCAGGACGUUCCGGUGGUGUGUGAGUUCCCGGAUGUAUUUCCUGAUGAUUUGCCCGGGCUUCCUCUGGAUCGGGAUGUGGAGUUCAAAAUUGAAUUGAUUCCAGGUACCGCUCCUAUCUCUAGAAGACCUUAUAGAAUGCCACCCAAUGAGCUAGCUGAGCUUAAGACCCAGCUGAAUGAGUUGUUGAAGAAGGGUCUUAUCCGUCCUAGUUCUUCUCCAUGGGGUUGUCCGGCUAUCUUUGUGAAGAAGAAGGAUCAAUCUUUGCGCAUGUGUGUGGACUAUCGUCCCCUAAAUGCGGUGACCAUCAAGAAUAAAUACCCUCUUCCUCGCAUUGAUAUUUUGUUUGAUCAGUUGUCUAAAGCCAAGGUAUUCUCCAAGAUUGAUUUGCGAUCUGGGUACCAUCAGAUCAAGAUCCGUCCUGAAGAUGUACCUAAGACAGCUUUCUCGACGAGGUAUGGGUUGUAUGAGUAUCUCGUCAUGUCCUUCGGUCUUACAAAUGCACCUGCUCAUUUCAUGUAUCUCAUGAAUUUGGUGUUCAUGCCCGAAUUGGACAAGUUUGUGGUAGUCUUCAUUGAUGAUAUCUUAAUAUAUUGUUGCAAUGAAGAGGAGCAUGCAGAGCAUCUGCGUAUAGUGUUGUCGCGUUUGCGUGAGCAUCAACUUUAUGCCAAGUUCAGCAAAUGCGAGUUUUGGCUGAAGAAAGUACCUUUCUUGGGCCACGUCUUAUCUGAAGAAGGCAUAUCAGUGGAUCUAGCUAAGGUGCAAGAAGUGCUGGAUUGGAAGGUUCCAACUUCGGUACACGAGGUUCGGAGUUUUCUCGGUCUGGCUGGGUAUUAUCGUCGAUUCAUUCCGGAAUUUUCAAAAAUAUCCAAGCCUAUGACUCGUCUACUUCAAAAAGAUGACAAGUUUGUGUGGACGCCUGAGUGUGAGGAGGCUUUCCACAAGUUGAGGACAUUGCUGACAUCAGCUCCUGUCCUAGCUCAACCUGAUCUCGAAAAGCCCUUCGAUGUCUUUUGUGACGCGUCAGGCAUUGGUCUAGGCUGUGUGUUGAUGCAAGAAGGCCGCGUUAUCGCGUAUGCCUCACGCCAACUUCGAAUGCAUGUGGUCAAUUACCCUACUCAUGACUUAGAAUUGGCAGCAGUUGUUCAUGCUUUGAAAAUCUGGAGGCACUAUUUGCUGGGUAAUCUGUGUAAUAUCUACACCGAUCAUAAGAGCCUCAAGUAUAUCUUCGCUCAACCUGAACUGAACAUGCGGCAAUGACGGUGGCUUGAGUUGAUUAAAGAUUACAAUCUACAAGUGCACUAUCAUCCGGGCAAGGCAAACGUGGUGGCGGAUGCUUUGAGUCGGAAAGCGCACUGCCACUCUAUCUAAGUGGAAGAUCCGUUGUUGUCACAUCUUAUGCAUCCACUUGUGCUCAACCAGAUUUCUCUAGAGAGUACUAUUCGCAAUCGAGUCAUCGAAUUGCAGCAAACAGAUGUAGGCAUCCACCAUAUAAAGAGAAAAAUAAAGGAGAAACCAAGCAUUUCAGGGUCGAUGAGUACGGAAUUCUUUGGUUCAAGGAUCGACUAGUGGUCCCCAAAGACCGUGAGCUACGAAAUCAGAUCUUAUCUAAAGCUCAUUCAUCCAAAUUGUCUAUCCAUCCUGGUAGUAGCAAGAUGUAUCAGGUUCUGAAACCUUUGUUUUGGUGGACAAAGAUGAAAAAGGAGAUUGCUGCUUUUGUCGCUCGUUGUGACAAUUGUUGUCGUGUGAAGGUCGUUCACAUGAAUGCUGGUUUGCUUCAACCCUUGUCAAUUCCUGGUUGGAAAUGGGAAGAAGUCAGCAUGGAUUUCAUCGUUGGACUCCCAACUUCUGUUAAGGGUUACGACUCUAUCUGGGUGAUUGUAGAUCGUUUGACCAAGGUUGCUCGUUUUAUUCCAGUUUGAACUGACUAUCGUCCACAUCAAUAUGCGGAGUUGUAUUUCGAACACAUUGUUUGUCAAUAUGGUGUGCCUCGAACAAUCAUAUCAGAUUGUGGACCACAGUUCACUGCUCGUUUUUGGGAAUGUCUGCAUGAGCAGAUUGGCACUCAUUUAGUCCGUAGCUCUGCUUAUCAUCCCCAAACAGCAGGUCAAACUGAAAGGGUUAACCAAAUCCUAGAAGAUAUGUUGAGGGCGUGUGCUCUUUCUUCUAAAGGUUCUGGGUUAAGUGGUUGCCAUUAGCUGAGUUCUCUUAUAACAACAGUUAUCAGGAGAGUAUCAAGAUGGCUCCAUUUGAAGCCCUGUACGGUCGAAAGUGUCGAACCCCGUUGAAUUGUGUAGAAGUUGGAGAGCGAAGGUAUUAUGGCAUCAAUUUCAUGAACGAAGCAGAGCAGCAAGUCCGUACCAUCCAGCAACAUCUAGAAGCUGCUCAAGCUCGUCAGAAAAGUUAUGCCGACAAAAGAAGGAAGCCGAUUGAGUUUUCAGUUGGUGACCAUGUGUAUAUCAAGGUGUCUCCGAUGAAGGGUGUACAAAGGUUCGGAGUCAAGCGAAAGCUUGCACCUCGUUAUGUGGGACCUUAUCGGAUUCUCGAAAGGAAAGGGAAUGUGGCGUACAAAGUUCAACUUCCAGUUGCGCUUCGAGCUAUUUUCCCUGUCUUCCACGUAUCACAGCUAAAGAAGUGCCUUCGUGUUCCAGAGGAAAGAGUGGAAGUUCGGGAUAUCAAGUUGAAGUCGGACUUGGUGUAUGAAGAAAAACCUGUAGCGGUUCUUGACCGCAGGGAACGGGUGACUCGUAAUCGUGUGGUUAAAUUCUACAAAGUGUUGUGGAGUAACCACGAGGAAGAAGAUGCCACUUGGGUUAAUCCAUGGCAAAAGGUCUGCAUAAGUAACCAUGUGGCCAUUCCAUGGUGAGGACAAUCUGAUAUGUAUCCUUGAAAACGCUCUCAUGCUUCUUGAAUGGUUAUGUCUUCAGCUGUUGGAAACUGACAAUAUUUCUUCUUAAGGCAGCUGUCUUGCCCAUUGGGGAAAACUGUAACACCCCAGUGUUAUGGUUGCAUAAAUCAUAUGCAUAGCAUGAGCAUCAUCAUCUAUUCAAGCAUAUCAUGAUCAUCAUCUAUCUUGAGCCAUGUCAUUCCAUGCAAAUAUGUGAUUUAAAUUGUUUAAGUAGUCUUCCUAUGCUUAUGCUUGAGUGAACCAUGCUUGUGUUUAUGCUCUAUGCCUUGGUACUUAGUUUAUCUUUGCUUAACUCAACCUUGGGAACAAUGUUCAUGUUGAUCACUUCUCCAAAAUAAUCACAUAAGUCAUACUUAUACAAAUAGGCUCUAGAAACCUCUUUUGCUUAGGCUUUUAAAAAGUGUUUCAUAAAUUGUUUGCAUGUCAAAACUUUCUACAGAAAAGUUGUAGAAAAUUUUAUAAGGAACAAAAGUUGUUUUAUAGACAUCUCAUGAAAAUGACCACAUCUAGCUCAAAAUUGACCCACAAGGAAGAUUUGGGGCUGUUUCCAACACUUAGGAAAUUUUUCUAAGUCCUGGAAUGAAAACAGUUUGCUCGAUCGGUUUUGAAAACUCUAUAUCUCUCAAUCAAGGACGAUCAGGCUUUUGCUCUAGUUGACAAUGUUGUAGAACUCGAUUGGAACUCCAACUUUGUCAACUACAUCAUCUUCUAACUCAGGCUGGUUUGGGAGUUAUUCGUUGCUGAAGUCGCUCUGUCAGUCGGUCAUCGUGUUCUCUGAAUCAGACGCGAGCUCGCCGACGUGGCCGACCGGCGACAGAGCAACGGCGACAUUUGGCACCCAUACGCCGCUCCUGGCCCCGCUCGUCAGCUUCCAGCGUGCGCAUGUCCUCCACGGCGACGCCCCGAGCGGAGUGGACGCGUCCAUUUAAUCUCUGCCUCGCCUCUCUCGCCAGAAGCGCGCCCGCAGCGAGCUCACCGUCGCGAGCUCACUCCGGCGAGCUCGUGUGCGCUCCUCGCUGCAUCGCAGUCCACCAAACUCCACCCAUAGCUCCACCGUGAGCCGCUCUCCACUCUCCACCCUCUAGCUCGCCGCGAAACCCACCGGUGAGCCGCCAUUUCCUUCUUCCCCCAAAUCGGGUCGCCGUGACCAUCUUUUCCGGCGAACUCAAUGCUGGGCUCCUCGGAGCCUCCCAUCUCCUUUGGUUAGGUUCUAGAGGUAGCUUAGGUCCUUAGCUAGCGGUUGCACCUCUCGGUGGACGCUCUACCGCACCCACCGUCGCCGGACACGAUGCGCAGCGCCGCCGUGUUUCCGUCGGAGUUGGGGUCUUCCGUGGCCAGCACAUUCCACGACGUUUCAAGCCAAGCCGCGUACCUAGGAAGCUUCGCCGUAGUCCGCUGGUGCUGUAGGAAACCCUAGGUCACGCUCUAGCGGCCUGAGGGCUCCGGCGUAACGCCGAGUACCUCCGCCGAGCCGCCAUGAUCGACGGCGAGCCAUUUCCGGUGGCUCCGCCGUGGGGAAAAGGGGGUCAAUCGAGUCGCUAGAGUCUGGGGAUCACAAUGGUGCCCUUGGUUUGGCCGGAGACCUCACUGUCGCGGAGAAAUCGCCGGCGAGAGUCGCCUCGGCGGUGAGGAAGAUGACCCUGACAUGCGGGGUCCAUUGUCAGUGUCACCUCACUUCCCUCCUUUUCUUUUAUUCAAAUCCUAAUUUUUGGCUUUCUUACAAAAAUCAUAUCUCCAGUUUCUGAGAUCCAAAAAUUGUGAAACCAAUUUUGUGGUAUUCCUUGAGAUGGCUAGUAUUUAAUAAAAAUAUAAAAUGAACCAUGUUUUCUGAGAAAAAUAUUUAUUAGGAUUUAAUCUUGUUAUUCAUGAGUAAAUUCAUAUCUCUUGUUAUACUGCUUAUUUUGCUAUGAAAUUUUUAUGGUAGUCUCUAUGUGGUACUAGAAGGCUUUGAUAAAUAUUUCAUGAUUUGUGGAGUACUGCAGCUUUGAUAUGUAAUUUAUGUUUGAGAUUUGUCUUGUUUCCUUAAUUAAAUCAUAUAAAAUAAUUGGUGCUUAUGCUGGUGCUCUACUUUGGCGGUAAAUAUUCUUAAUAUGUAAAUAAUCUGAAAUCUGUUGUUUGGCACAAUGUAAGUCAUGUUUCUGAAUUUAUGAAAUACACACCUUGUCACAUAUUAAAUGCAUAUCUUUAAUUUGGUAUGUGCAAUUGCUUUGAAAUUUUUAUGGGAAUGUCACAAUGCUAUACAUGUGCUUCUGUAAUUUUUGUAGAUUUUUCUGAGCACAUUUGCUAGUAUCUUAUAAUUAAGUCCUUUUAUAGAAUUAAAUGGUUAAAUGCAUCAUUAUUAAAUAUCUAGGGGUUAACAUAUGUUGAUCUGGUAACCUUGUGAUAUGCUUGUGCUUAUAAGUCAUGUGGUUGACACUGUUUAUGCUUUGGCUAUGUCUUUAAAUAAUUAAUUGGUGGGUUAAAGGCUGUUCUGGACAGCAAGGGAGUAAUUCAACUUUUACUUAUUGAUAUCUGAGUUUUCUGGGGAGCUUGUCUAAAUCAAAGUUGUUGUAAACUUCAUGAGCUAGCUGUGGUUUAAAUUUGGGAUCAAUUGGUCCAGUAGUUUGAAAGUUAUGGCUGUGCCAAGUUGGGUUCCAGAAAUGGGUACUGUCUGUUUUUCUGGGACAGAACCUGGAACUUUGUUUAAAUGGCUUGUUUAACUUAUGAAUCUUGCUGUGAUGUUUAAAGAUGAUUUGUAGACAAUUUCAUGAGCUUUCCAGCAUGUCUUCACUCAUGUUUGUUGGAUCUGUCUAGCACUAGUUAUGACCUGUUUACUGAGCUAAUCCUGUUAUGUGAUGCUUGCUGUUCUAGUACUUGGUAGAUUCUGAUCAGUUAACUUACUACCUUGUGUGAACUGUUAUAACCGUUACUCCGUAAAUGUGUGUCCAGUGAGUUUAUUUAUGUGUCAAGCAUUCAUCCUCUUUUAUGCAUCAUCUUAUUAGUUGAGCAUGCAAUAGGUGCAUCGGACGCGACCGCUUCCUUCGAGCUCCAAGCGAACCCCGAAGGCCAGGAGGGCAGCCAGGAGGUGGAGGUCCAGCCAGCCAGACUCGAGGAGCCCGAAGAAGAAGUUGAGUGCCCGAACCACGAGCCAGCCUCGUUCGUGAAAGGCAAGCCCCGGAGCAUCCUAAGUCUCCCUUUACUUUCAAAAGUUUACUUGAAUAUGUUAUAUUUAUUGAUGCAUUAAGUAUAGGAGUUGUGAUGAAACCUUUGCUGCACUUUACUCCAUCCUUGUCCAGAUAACUUACCCUACCCUGGUUGUAGAGUUAGGAUCGAGUAGCAGCUUAGCCAUGCUUAAUCGGUAGAAGCCGAGUGAUUUCCUGUCACCAGCGUGAUAUAGGGUUGUGUCGGAUCACGAUAGACUAUAUGUGCUAUCGUGGGUGAAACCGGAUUAAUUUGACUUAAGCCGGGUGGAGUUUUGCAAGGUUGUAGUAACUCCGUCUGUGGCAGCUAAGGACCGACCGUUGUACGUCCUCUUAUCAUGUUGAACGCAUGCCUGACACUUAGUUGGCCGGAUAACUCGUUCCGACCGCGAAGCCGAGUAAUAUGACUCAGGCCGGAAGACCGGCAAGUAUAAAGUGCGCACUACCGGAGGAAGUGCGGUGUGCGGGGGACCAUUGGCGUAAGCCCAAAGGCAGGUGAGUUAAAAUUCCUGACCUCCCUGGCAGAGUGGUAGCCCUGGGAGUGCGGCGCUGACCGGAGCCGCGAUUCCUGAGUCGUACAAAAGGUGACCCAUUGGCUCUCCGACGGGGGAUGCUUGGGUGAGUGCUAGGAAUACCACUCCAGCUGGAUAGGAAUUCGAUUCGAAUCGCCGUCUCUCCCGGUCAGUGAGAACUUGACAGAGCAGCGGCAAACAUAGCAUUCACUAAUGAACUUGGUUCAUGAUAAUGAUGAUGGCAAGGAAGAACAUAUGAUGAACUUGAUAUGGUUAUUAUUGCUUGUAAUAAUAAAGUGAAGUGCUUUAGUACAGGUGCUAAUCUAGUGGUAGGCUGAUAUUGAAUAAAUAUGGGGCUCUCACAAUAACUUAGUUAUAAUGUAAGCUUUUGGCAAAUGUUGAGUCAACCAACUCCACUUGAUGUUAGCCUUGCAUGAUCCUUGGCGUCUUUUAUUUUUUUACUAGACGGGUAAGUCUAGCUGAGUACAUUCUCGUACUCAGGGUUAUUCCCACCUGUUGUAGAUGACAUCUUUUAUGACGGCUUCUGCAAGACCUGUCUCCAUCCCGCUGGGGAUGAGGACUAACUAUUGGGCACGGUUCUCUAACAAACUCGUACCUGCUACUUUUGGAUGGAUGGCAUGAGACUCUGGCAAUAACAAGAACUUGUGAACUGAACUUUGAACAAGUGUGUGUAAUUAUUUUGCUUCCGCUACUUCGAACAUGUGUUGUAAUAACUUAAUAACUCCGAUGUGGUGCCGCUUCGAUGGCAAUGAAUGACUAUGUAACAUUCGCUGUGUUGUGCUGAAUUAUUAUGAUCUUGGUUUGUUGCAAGUUGGUUUGAAGUCCUUCAUGAUUUCGAUUGACUACCGGGAUUAUAUGGGCUCAAGUUUGGAAACUUGAUUGUUGGCCGAUCGUUUCUACACUUGAACUCUUAUAAUUUGGUCGGUUCUGCGACAAAAACUUUGAUAGAAAGGCAUCUGACAAGUUCAUCCAGUUGUUGAUGUUAUCUUGAUGGGUGUAGAACCAUUUCCUUGCUUUCCCUUCUAGCGAGAAUGGAAAGAGGCGAAGCAGUAUGACGUCUUUGUCAACUCCGUUGAUGCGGAUUGUGCUUCCAAUCUCUAAGAAAUUCUACAAGUGUGCACUAGCAUCUUCAUGUGCCUUUCCACGGAAUUGUGUAGCUGUUGACGGUCCUUAAGUAUCAAAUUUAAUUAUCAAAUAAACAAAGAAAAGGAUCCAAAUGAAAUCAACAUCUAGACUUAGGGUUUUAUCUGACAGAAUUCCACGAGUUUUGGUGUUUGUCUAUUUCUGUAGGGGGUUAUCAGGAAAUAAGGAAGAAAGGCCCACAUGUCGGGAUUACAUAGAGAUAUCAACGCACCGCGCAAUUUUCUACCAUCUAGAAGACUCCAGAAGCCACGGGAAGGAAUCGGAGGCCGAAAGGGGCUAGGCCCAGGGCGCACGCCCUGGUGACCUGGGCGCCCGCCCCCUGCUGGAUCCUGUUCGGGACUCUCUUCGCACACGAUGUUCCACCAACCUAUUGGAUCAAGGAAAACAUAGUACCACAUCGCCUACCGACCCAAAAACGCAUAGAGGAGGAGGACUAUAUAAGGAGACCCCCCUGGCCCCUGGAGAAGACAAGAAAUUAUCAUAGAGAUUGAGGGGUGCCCUCGAAGGAAAACCUCUUCUCUAAAUAAUAUUUCUUUUUAGGAUUAGCAACCAAUGUAAAGUAGAAAUAGAUCUUCUAGUUUCUACUAGAUUGAGAGAGAUAGAGUGGAGGUGUGGAUCGGAGGAAGGCCGGCCUGUCGGUGUCUACUCCGAGUUGUACCUACGGGAUCAAGUCUCCUAACCCGAGGCUUGCUUCUAAGAUUCUUCAGUAAUUCGACUUCUAAUGCUAGUAAGUUCUUGUUUUAUUAUUCUUUGGUUUAUGAGUUUACUUUAAUCCUCUUCCGGUUGAGUAUUAGAGUAAUCACUUGCUAGCAUAAACGUGGUGUUUAGGCUAGGGUACUCAUAGAUAUCCCCUGACUAGCUGGACCGUGGUUGUAGCGAGGAACGUGACAUUUCCGAGUUACCUUUGUAUCCCAUAUCUUGUUAGCAGGACGGGUAGGUUUAUAGGUGCGGGUCGAACAUCCUUUGUGUUGUCUAGAUUCCGUGAGCCUCCCCAAUAGAACAGUAGAUCAUCCUUACCAAGGUUAGAACAAGACUACGGUUGCAGUCUUCUCUAUACAUCACUCACAUCGAGAAACAUUCUUUGUAGCCUAAAGGGAUAGUAGCAAUAGAUUUGGUUAGUUAGAUGCACCCUUUCUCCCAGUGGUAAAAAUAUAAAUACGAUACUCUGGAAAACCUCCCGGGUGAAAUGCUCACCGAUAUCCGUGCGCUUGCGGAUCAUUUCCUUACUGCGUUACCAAAUAUCAACAAGCAUUUCUGGCGCCGUUGCCGGGGAGAAAGACGGUUUGCUGAGAUAACUUUGAGUCUUGCUAUUAUCUUGUAUUAUACUUUUAUACUUUUAUUCUUUUAUCUUUUUAUUUUUAUCUUUAUGGAUAACUCAAAUUCCAUACCUAUUAUUGAAUUCUUUGCACCUUCGGAGACCAGCCAUAGACCAUGGGAGUCAACACGUCCUGCCCCUAAUUAUGAUCUGUGUCUGGAGUUGAUUGCAAUAGGUCAAAACCAACCCUUUUCUAUAGCUAAGGUCCUAUCUUUUAAUCAGGAAGAUAAUGCACUUUUAGCUACACCCAGGGAAUCUUUUAAUCUUUCAAUAAAUUCUGGUUUAGACCUAGCCCUACAAGACCAUGUUUUUUCUUGAUAUUUUCACAUUGAUCUUAAUCAUAUAACCUUUGGUAGAGUUCUUCUUUCUUUAUCUAUUAGUAAAGGAAGGUAUGUCUUCAUUCGUGGACAUCCUUCUUGCACUAGUCUUCAUAGAAAAAUCUUAGAGAUAGAGAAGGAAUCAUCUCCCAAACAAGGAAAGGAAGUUUCAAUAGCCGAUUUCCAAACAUUCCAAUCCCAUGAUUCGGCUAUCCAAUCCAUCCUUGAGCCUAAUAAUUUCUACUAUGAUCUUUCUCUUGAACCUCCCGAUGAUCCUAUGAAUCUCUCUAGACAUCCCAUGCAUAAGAGUCACCAAGACCACAAGGAGGAUCGAGAAGAGCAACAUUAAUGGCUAGAGGGCAUUAAAAAUCCAUGUGCUAUCACCAUUGAAUGGAUGGAUAAAACAAACUUGAGAGACAAUCCUAGAGGAAUUUUAAGCAUUCAUGAAGAAUCAUCCUUGGAGAUUGAGAAUGAGAGAAACAACAGUGAGCAUAGAAGUUAUUUCAUAAAUACCUUACCAAGUCCUUGCUCAUAUAAAACAUCUCCCCAAUCAAUUGGUCUCUCCAUCCUUACCACAUUUGAGAUCUCCAACCCCCUCUUCCUUUCUAUUUAUAAAAACUUUGAAAGGGCGGUUGUCGAUGCAUAUGUCUAUAAUAAAUAUUGCAGAUCUCGUUGAGUUGAUCUUGAUAUAGGUAGGUGUUGGAGGGGAAACCACUUCACCAACAUAACUUGAUGGUUUCCCAAGGACAAGCUUAGUGUCCUAAAACAAGCACCUAUCAGAUUGUGACAUGAACUUCUAAUUUUUUGCAACAUUGCCUUGUGUAUUGAGCAUAUAAAGAUAAUUGUAGAAAUAUUCCUUCGGGUAUUCGUGUCAUUAACCUUUCUAGGAUCGGAGCAAGAAGAUCCGAGGAAUGACAAGCGCAAGGUAUGCCCAACCAAUCAUCAUGCAACAUUGAAUUAAAUUCAUCCAAUCUUGAAUUUUGCAAAAUUCAAGCUUGGGGGAGUACUUUACAUAAAACAACAUUUGCCAUGUUCCUAUGUUGGUUGUCCUUACCUUUGAGACAUGCUCAAUUUGUUAAAUACUAAUUACACUACUUCAUCUCCACUUAAGUAGAUCUCUAUAAAUGCUCUCAUGCUACCUUUAUUUGCUUUAGUAUAUGUCUAGGUUUGGAAUAGUUUCAUUUAUCUAUUAAAUAAGCAUGGUGCUUAGUUUAGGAAUGAUGAUCUUACUUCCAAGGGAUUUUAAAUUAAGCAUGGUGCUUAGGUUAAAAUGCCCUCCUAAAUCAAAUUAGACAUGGUGUCUAGGUUGAUUUUUGAGCUGAUAGUAUGCUAUAGUAGAUAUUGGAUAUUUUGUUGGACUAACCCCUGCAGGAAAACUUUCAAUAUCGACCUGGGAAGUCCUGAGAUACAAACUCAUUGGAGAUAAAGGAGACACAUGAAGUUUAACAAUUUGCACAAGAAAGACGUAGCUCAUAAGAGAUGAUUCAUGGAGGGUGCCACAAACACGAUGCACAACCGCUAAGAAAGGAAAGCUUCCACAAGGUGAUACUAUACCAUCACUCUUCAAGUAAGGUAACAUCUUAAGGUACUUGACUAUCGCUUUUAUAAGCUUCUCCUUGGUUCUGGCGUUCACGUAAGAUAAAGAGACAAACAUGUAUGAUUUGUAACUCCAAAUUAACCAACCCAAUUAAUUCAACAUGUUUAGUCCUUUAAUCUUUGUUCUUAGUAUUACCUUCGUGAACCCACGCCCCUAAUCAUAUAAGCUAAUAUGUUGCACAUUCAAUCUUUGGAAGAUAUAAACAAAACAUAUAUAUAGAUAGAUUAUCUUUCCAUUAGGUCAAGCAAUCUGAUCUGACAAAUGUUUCAAAUACUACACUCACGAUCCAUCAACUUUGUCUUGCUCACUAUGCUUAAGGUUAGAGAAGAACAAAUACACUUUUGGUUCUGUUGGUGUUUUCCACCAACAGGGCCCAUGCACUUGAUCUCUGCCUUGUCUCUAUGAAUAGGUACACAUCAAACAAAAUAUGGAGGAGUUUUACAACUCCAAGAUUCCACCAAGUGAAGAACCGGGAUCUACGAGCACAAACACAAUGGAGAUCAGACACUUAGUUUCCCAAAGGAAAUAUUGAAGAACCUCUAUGUCCGAGUUGGUACCUUGUACGCUCCAGCAAACGUCGUGGUGAUAGAGACUGGUACUGAGGAGAGGGCACCCAUCAUCUUAGGGAGGCCAUUCCUAAACACCAGAGCUGUCAUCUAUGCUAAUGCUGCCAAGAUCAGUUUCUACAUCAAGGGGAAGAAGGAGACUUUCCUUCAAGAACAAGACUACACAAACUUCAGAGCAACCCCGACAUGAACCAAGGAAGAGGACCAACAGGAGGAACAGGAACAAGCAAAUGUGGACCGAGUCAGCUAAGAUGGUCACUGCAGCUUAAGGAGGUCAAGAUCGUCGACUCAAGUCACCUUUCUUGAUCAAGAAGGACGACCCUAGUGUUCCAAGCAUCGAGUGCGCAAUCAAUGGAUACUCUUUUCACAAGACACUCUACGACACCGGAUCUGAUGAUAACAUAAUGGCCGCAGUCACUUAUCAGCUCCUGCAUGGAACCAUGCCCCUACAACCAAUAUAUAUUCAGCUCCAGAUGAUUUUUAGAUCAUUGACAUGGUAGAAGACGAGUAUGAUCCACCUACCAUCCUUGGAAGACCGUUCCUCAAAUACUAUCAAAGCCAUCAUCUAUAAUGGAACCGGAGAAGUCCACAUGCACUUCCCCUCUAAGAAGGUACGCCACUACUUUAAUGAUUCUAACUAUAUAGUUGAAGAUUCUAAGCAGGUCAGGACAAGAAGAAGACAACACAACCGCAACCAGAGGAAGCAAAUCAUCAAGGACGGAUAGGUAGACUACGAAGGAGAAGUGAUAAGGUCUGAAGACAUAUAGCUUGAACAGAACUGUCCUGAGGAGACUGUAGCACCGAGUCAGGUGUGGAGAGAGAAGAUAGCUAUACACAAAGAGGAGGCGCCGCCGGAACCACCGACUACAAACACAAGGAAUCCCAUUCGGAGGAUUUAAAAACACCGAACGCCUUGCCAGGAGGUAAACUUGGUAGUUAUCCUUUUCCAUUUAAUAGUUUGCUUAGUUAAUCAGGUUCAUGCUAUCUUAAAAAGAAAAUAAAAAUGUUAAAAAAUAGUAAGCCCCAUGUGAGUAUGCUCAUGGCAUAAAACCCAUAAGUACAUUCACUGUGGUGGCAUAAAAAUAAAAUAAAUAAGUUUUCAUCUUACAAUAAAAAAUAUAAAAAUAAGAAGUGCAUGAUCCUGCUAAAUAAGUAACAUUUAUUGAGGAGGCUCAACAUGAUAAAGGCUAGAUAUUUAUGCUAACACUUAACCAGUUCCACAAAGCUUUGUUGUAUAUUUGAGCUCCACAGAAUUCAAGGAUCAAAGAAGACUAGCAGACGGAGGACAUCCUGAUCGAUGUCAGGGUGCUGCCGACAUUCAAAUACACCUCCACCACCUACUAGCUACAUCAGAAGAAAUUACGUCAAAAUCCAGCUUGGGGGAGAGCACCCCAUUUAUCCAGCUAAGUGUUUCUACUCGCGUUUAUACUUUACUCAAAUAAUAAAAGAUGCAUAAUCAUGAAAACCCAAAUAAAGAUUUUAUGCUUUUAUAUAUUUUUGCUUAGUUUGCUAAAUAAAUAAAUAAAUAAAAUUUGCUAUGAACCCUCAUGAUAAACUCUCACAUGGAAAUGAUGAAUAGUUGCUCUGCCAUGACUAGUUCUAAAAAUUGAAAUCUCUAUCAAGUUUAGGCAUGACUGUUAUGAAGUAAGAUUUGCUCUAAACCUGAACUCGUGGGAAGAGUACUUGAUCUAAAAGUCUAAGUCGUUAACGGAUAUGAUAUGGGAAGGUUGAGCUGCUGUUUAUCUGUUCCUAGAGAUGCUAGAAUUCUGGAGAAUUUUAUCUUUGAAAAAUCUUUAAAAUAACACAUGAUGAGUUCCUAUAUGAUGAGAGUUUAAAUUCCUACCAUAGCCAUAUAUACAUGCUGGCUAGACUUUGAGCCACAUAUUUACUUUUUACUGCUUAUGAGCAUUGAGUGUGGUCAAGCUGUGUAGACCCUUAGGAGCUUGUCAUGUGGUUAAAAUCAAGAUUCACUUGCACUUUCACUCAUACAUGCUACUUCUACUCCAGAAGUACCAUCCACAUAUAUCCACUCAUUUCCAUCUCCACAUUCACCCGAAAUUAUUCUACUCCUAAUCCGGAGAGAAUAGCCAAAAAUAUUUUCCUAUCCCUGUUAUUCCCUGUGAAAUAAAUGCUCGAGUUAUCUUUGUUACUACCACUUGCUAUAUUAUUUAAGGAGAUGAGUGCUCUAAAAAAAAGAGAGGAAAAAUACGAGGAAAUAAAAAGGGGCAAGUGCCCGGAACCUCGAAAGAAAAGAAAAAGUAAGACGAGAGGUAAAAAUGGACAAGUGUCCGACAGUAGAAUUAGGGGUACAAGAUACCCACCUGAGAGGAAAGAAAAAGAAAAUAUAGAGUAUCUCAUUCUCCCUAAAAAGGUUCAACAAGCAAGGAAGGUAUGUAUCCCCUCAAAAGAGCAAAAGUAGAAUUAGACUUUCACCAUUAUUAUCACCAUCAUCACCAUACACCAUUCAUUCGCCACACAUGCACAUCUUGAUUUGACUUAUUGACUUAUUUCUCUGGAUCCAUGGUUUGACUAUGCAAUAAAUGUCUUGUAAGUAUGUAUUAGCUGUCUCCCACCUAUGAGCUCCAGAUAUCAGAACCUUAUUAGAGUAGGGUGAGAGAGAAGGCAAUAUCACUAUGCCUCAUACCAAAAAAUACCACAUACUUUGAGAGAAGGCAUAUACCAUUACUGUCUUGGUAAGGAUCCAGAAAUACCACAAAAGAGAGAUCUGAGAGAGUCAUAUAAGGAAUCUCUGAGUUUUAUUUGAAAAUUUGCAAAAACCCCAGAGCUAUAGCUGAUCAAGAAUAAGAGACAUGGCGCUUGACUUGACUGUUCUAUCUUUUAACUGCUCAAGACACAAGUGACGGUUACAAGCCCCAUGGUGAAAGGUAAAAUGAGUAAGUUUUAAGUCUUAACAGUUUAUUCUAACUCAGAGAUGAGAUCUUACUUGAAUGCGUGUGUACUUUUAAGGCAUGAAACCACUGCAGAAACUCUUGAGUUCACCUUGCUCAGGGACGAGCAAGAGGUAAGCUUGGGGGAGUUUGUUGACAGUCCUUAAGUAUCAAAUUUAAUUAUCAAAUAAACAAAGAAAAGAAUCCAAAUGAAAUCAACAUCUAGACUUAGGGUUUUAUCUGACAGAAUUCCACGAGUUUUGGUGUUUGUCUAUUUCUGUAGGGGGUUAUCAGGAAAUAAGGAAGAAAGGCCCACAUGUCGGGAUUACAUAGAGAUAUCAACGCACCGCGCAAUUUUCUACCAUCUAGAAGACUCCAGAAGCCACGGGAAGGAAGCGGAGGCAGAAAGGGGCCAGGCCCAGGGCGCCCGCCCCCUGCUGGAUCCUGUUCGGGACUCUCUUCGCACACGAUGUUCCACCGACCUAUUGGAUCAAGGAAAACAUAGUACCACAUCGCCUACCGCCCCAAAAACGCAUAGAGGAGGAGGACUAUAUAAGGAGACCCCUCUGCCCCCUGGAGAAGACAAGAAAUUAUCAUAUAGAUUGAGGGGUGCCCUCGAAGGAAAACCUCUUCUCUAAAUAAUAUUUCUUUUUAGGAUUAGCAACCAAUGUAAAGUAGAAAUAGAUCUUCUAGUUUCUACUAGAUUGAGAGAGAUAGAGUGGAGGUGUGGAUCGGAGGAAGGCCGGCCUGUCGGUGUCUACUCCGAGUUGUACCUACGGGAUCAAGUCUCCUAACCCGAGGCUUGCUUCUAAGAUUCUUCAGUAAUUCGACUUCUAAUGCUAGUAUGUUCUUGUUUUAUUGUUAUUUGGUUUAUGAGUUUAUUUAAUCCUCUUUCGGUUGAGUAUUAGAGUAAUCACUUGCUAGCGUAAACGUGGUGUUUAGGCUAGGGUACUCAUAGAUAUCCUCUGACUAGCUAGACCGUGGUAGUAGUGAGGAACGUGACAUUUCCGAGUUACCUUUGUAUCCCAUAUCUUGUUAGCAGGACGGGUAGGUUUAUAGGUGCGGGUCGAACAUCCUUUGUGUUGUCUAGAUUCCGUGAGCCUCCCCAAUAGAACAGUAGAUCAUCCUUACCAAGGUUAGAACGAGACUACGGUUGCAGUCUUCUCUAUACAUCACUCACAUCGAGAAACAUUCUUUGUACCCUAAAGGGAUAGUAGCAAUAGAUUUGGUUAGUCAGAUGCACCCUUUCUCCCAGUGGUAAAAAUAUAAAUACGAUACUCUGAAAAACCUCCUGGGUGAAAUGCUCACCGAUAUCCGUGCGCUUGCGGAUCAUUUCUUUACUGCGUUACCAAAUAUCAACAGUAGCUUGUACCAAAUUGAUGAGGCCUGACUUGAGCUCGAACUCGGGUGCUCCCUUCUUGUACUGCAAAUCUUGGACCAGUUGGAAUGUUCUCAAGUCUUGGAGCAGAGAAUUCUCGUAGGGUCUUUUGUGCCAUAGCUUCAGCAGUUGGUAGAUAGCUUCUUCUUUCUUUCUUGAUUGCUUUGGUUCUAAUGAUGAAGAGUUGAAUGUACCAAAGUUAAUCCUGAUGUACCCUGUAUAAAAAUAUAAACAUAGAAAAAUAACAGGGUGAACCUGCCAAAGCAGAGGUGCCUUGUUAUGAUUUCUCACUUAGUAGCUGUUUUUAUGCAAUUAUUUCUCCAUAGUCUAGUCUAAUAUUUUAUGUGAAUAACCUUGACUGACUUCCUGACUUUCCUUACCGCUCCCUAUGUGUUCCCCUUUUGUGUGGUCCCUGGCAGCGGCGCCAGAAAUGCUUGUUGACACUAGCUAACACCACUUAGAUACUAGGUUGUCAUCCCCAGCAUGGCGCCAGAGUGUACAAAGGUAUUUAUGAAUUAAAGGCUCUCUAGAAAAUAAUCUAUUCUAUCCGCAAGCGCACAGAUAAAACACAUCAUUGUAGCAUUUUAGCCGGUAAGUAUUCCAGGUAUCGUUAUUUAUAAUUUUGCCUAAGAGAAAAAGGAUUAAAUGGAGAUAAGGAUAAAAUCUAUCAAGGCAUAGACUAGAGAUAAACUUGCAAGAAUAUGAUUACUAAUGAGGAACUCGUCACACAGUCACAUACUUUGGUAGGGGGGUAAGCCAUAAUAAUAAUGAUAAUGAAGUAUAAGCUCUUUGGUAAAUAAUACAACGAUUAGAAAAUAGACUACUCCUCAUAUAUGUAAGGUGACGUCAGAUUAGCUAGAGAAUGGAUUCUAAGUUAUCUACUAUCUACUAAGUCAUAACCUACUCUAGUUAUCUACAAGAUCAUAUAUAGCAUAAAAGACUCUUCAUUCAUGUAUAAGGAACAUUUCUAAAGUAAAUCAGAGCAUCGCAAGACUUACUCCGCAAUACAAUUUCUGCCUGUCCUAUCAACAGAGGGUGGACUAUAUAAGAAUCAACGAAGCUGUCACUAUCGCGAACUACCACACGACCCGGCCAAUAGGAUAUAGUUGUAGGUAAAUAACAUCUAAGCACCACGCCCACAUGUGAUCUACCACUUAACUCCCGCGCGUCAAGAGCUAAGCGCUUUGCAAACUUAUAUAUAAACUUAUUAUCAAUCAUAACUAUAUCAAAUAUAGAACUAGAGCAAACUAAGAUCAUAAUAAAAAGAGACAUAAUGCAAUUAGAACAAAGUACUAGAGAAAGAUAUGAAAUAAUACCAAUCUUUAUUAGCGAAGAUCCGAAUCCAGAGGACUAGGCUCUACUUCUCUAAUUGCUAUCUAAUCAAUCCUCUAAACUUGAAGGAUUAGGUAGUAGCUAAUUCUAAUUCUCUGUGGGAGAGAUGUCUAAACCCUAACUUUGAUGGCUACCUCUAAUAAUGAUUUCUCCUCUCUCCCCCUAGGGUGGAGAGGCCUUGAUUAUAUAGUCCUCUCAAGUGAAUUUGGGCCGUCGGAUCAAACCGACAUUGAUCGCACGGUUUUCCUUGAUCCUUUAGGUCGGUGGAGCAUAAUCCAUGAGACGGGUCCUGAUUGGACUCCUGGCCAGGGCGGGCACCCAAGGGGGGAGGGCGGGCGCCCUGCCCCCGAGCCCGUCCGGUCUCCCGAUCGUUCUCGUGUCUUCUGGACACUUCUAGAUUGAGGAAAAUUGCGCGGCACGUGAUUAUCUCGAUGUAAACAUGACAUGUGGGCCUUCUCUCCAUAUUUUCUGAUAACCCGUGCAGAAAUAGAUAAACACCAAAGCUUGUGGAAUUCUAUCAGAUAAAACCCUAAUUCUAGAUGUUUGUUUCAUUUGGAUCCUUUUCCAUGUUUAAUUGAUGGUUAAAUUUAGUACUUAAGGACCGUCAAAAAGAGGAUCCCUCUAGUUCAUCUAGUUCUAGUUCUAGUUCAUCUAGUUCUAGUUCUAGUUAGUUCUAGUUGUAAUAUAGAAAAUAGAGAGAGAGAAGAGGAGAGCGGAGGAGGAGCCGGAUCUGUCGAAUCUUCCUCAACAUUGUACUUUUGCAGCAACUGGUUCGUUCUUCAUCGUUCUCCAAGUUCUUCAAUUCAUAAUUCUGGAGUUCUUUAAUAACUUUUAUUUACAUUCAAGUUAUUUAUUGGAUUCCCGCUUGCAUCAAGUGCUCCAGUCUUUUAAACGCUAGAGUAGUAAUUAAUAGAUUAGACGUGGUGUUUAGUCUUGCAAUUACCUAGAAUUACACCCAAUCCUAUGGAUUGUUGUGGUAGCACUAGGGUAGUGACAGCCCUAACGGUCGACGUAUUCCACCUCGUUCGGAUCGGUGUUUAUAGCACUGAAGUCAGAGCUUCCUAGCCCCCUUCUCAUCUCUUUCUGUGGUUAGUGUUCUGAUGUCUCUGUGGGGGUAUAAACCCCUAUACCCUCAUGGGCCUAUAUGGGCCGCACCAUCACAGGUGGCUCGACCCACAAGAUGAAGACGUGCGGCGCACGACUGGUCGGCGUGCACCGCAAGGCUACAAGAUUUUGUACCAAAUAGGAUACUUUGCUUGUAACUCUGUCCCUUCAGGAUAUAUAAGGAGGGGCAGGCGUCCCCUAGAGGACAAGAAAUACAUCAUAUUCUCUCAACACAAAUCAAUACAACCAGACGCAGGACGUAGGUAUUACGCCAACUCGGCGGCCGAACCUGGAUAAAAAGCUUGUCCGUGUCUUGCGUCACCAUCGAGUUCGUAGUUUGCGCACCGUCUACCGAUAAACUACUACCGUGGGUAUACCCCAAGGUAGACUGCCGACCAGCUUUCGUCGACAGUCUCGAAAUAAAUAAUCUUUGAAGUAAUUCUUGAUUCUUAGAUCAACUAGAGAACUCUCAGGAAACAUCCUCUCUUCCCACCAAAAAUAAUUAUAUAGUUAUCAUUGGGCGAUCUUGAAUCUUAAUUCGUACACUCACGUUCCCUGUGGAAAAUCGAUACUCUAGAAUACUCCCAGGUGAAAGCUACAUCGGUAUCCGUACGCUUGCGGAUUUUUAUGUUUGCGUUUAAAAUACCCAACAAGCUUUCUGGCGCCGUUGUCGGGGAACGGUAGCUGUGCUAGUUUCAAACCAAGUCGUCCGUGUAUCCUUUUUCUUUACCUUUUUUUACCACACUCACCAUACCAUUUUCACAAUACCACAUAGAUUUCACUCGAAACAUUAAUGAGCAUGGAAUUUAUUUCAUAGCCACUUCAUUUACUCCAUGCUCAUAUGCAACAUCUUCCCAAUCUAUUGGUCUCUCCAACAUCACCACAUUCGAGAUCUCUAACCCCCUUUUCCUUUCUAUUUAUAAAAACUUUAAAAGGGCGGUUGUCGAUGCAUAUGUCUAUUAUGAAUAUUGCAGAUCUCAUUGAGUUGAUCUUGAUAUAGGUCAGCGUUGGAGGGGAAACCACAUCACCGACAUAAAUUGAUGGUUUCCCAAGGACAAGCUUAGUGUCCUACAAUAAGCACUGAUCAGAUCGUAACAUGAGCUUUUAAUUAUCUACAACAUUACCUUGUGUAUUGACCAUAUAAGGAUAAUUGUAAAAAAUUCCUUCAGGUAUUCUUGUCACUAACCUUUCCAGGAUUGGAGCAAGCAGAUCGGAUGAAUGACAAGCACAAGGUAUGUCCAACCAAUCAUCAUACAACAUUGAAUUAAAUUCAUCCAAACUUGAAUUUUGCAAAAUUCAAGCUUGGGGGAGUACUUUACAUAAAAACUUCCUUUGCCAUGUUGCUUUAUUGGUUAUCCCUACCUUUGGGACAUGAUCAAUUUGUUAAAUACUAAUCACACUACUUCAUCUCCACUUGAGUAGAUCACUAUAAAUGCUCUUAUGCUUCCUUUAUUUGCUUUAGUAUAUGUCUAGGUUUGGAGUAGUUAAAUUUAUCUCUUAAUUAAGCAUGGUUCUUAGUUACGAUUGAUGAUCUUACUUCCAAGGGAUUUUAAAUUAAGCAUGGUGCUUAGGUUAAAAUGCCCUCCUAAAUCAAAUUUGACAUGGUGUCUAGGUUAAUUUUUGAGCCGAUAGUAUGCUAUAGUAGAUAUUAGAUAUUUCGUUAGACUAACCCCUGCAGGAAAACUUUCAAUAUCAACCUAGGAAGUCCUGAGAUAAACUCACAUUGGAGACAAAGAGAGAGACACGUGAACUUUAACAAUUUACACAAGGAAGGCAUAGCUCACAAGAGAUGAUCCAUGGAGGGUGCUACAAACACGAUGCACAACCGCUAAGAAAGGAAAGCUUCCACAAGGUGAUACUGUACCAUCACUGUUCAAGUAAGGUAACAUCUUAAGGCACUUGACUAUCACUUACCUUCUCCUUGUUUCUGGCGUUCACAUGAAUAAAAGAGACAAACAUGUAUGAUUUACAACUCUAGAUUAACUAACCCAAUCGAUUCAAUAUGUUUAGUCCUUCCACAUUUGUGAUCCCACACUCCUAAUCAUAUGAGCUAAAAUGUUACACACGCAAUCUUUGGAAGAUAUAUAUAAAAAAACAUAAGUAUAGAUAGAUUAUCUUUCCAUUAGGUUGAGCUAUCUGAUCUGACAAAUGCUUUAAAUGCUACACUCGUGAUCUUAUUAUCCAUCAACUUUGUCUUGCUCACUAUGCUUAAGGUUAGAGAAGAACAAAUACACUUUUGGUUCUGUUGGUGUUUUCCACCAACAGGGCCCAUGCACUUGAUCCCUGCCUUGUCUCUAUGAGUAGGUACACUUCGAGCAAAAUAUGGAGGAGUUUUACAACUCCCGGACUCCACCAAGUGAAAAACCUGGAUCUAUGAGCAUAAACACACUGGAGAUACUAGACACUCAGGCAAUCACUGCCCUGAGAUGCUUGAGGACGUAAAUUACAUCAACAACAACAACUACUACUACAACCGUCCUCAACAAAAUCAAGGUUGGAAUCAACAGAGGCCUAACUACUCAACUAAAUUAUCAAGGUAAUAAUUCUUACAAUAAUAAUAAUAAUUUUCUACCUCUGAGAGAGUUAGUGACUAAUCAAGGAAAGCUAAUGGAUAACCUUUCUAAGAAAUUGGCAUCUAAUGAUAAAAUGUUAGAAAAUAUAAAUAAUAGAAUGGAUAAUUUCUCUACUGCCAUCAAGAAUUAAAUUAGCUUGAAUAAAAUGAUUGAAUCUUAAUUAAAUCAAAUAGCUGCUGCUGUUCCUGCUACUAACCCCGGUAUACCAUCACAACUGGAAGGAUUAUAAUUUUCAAAUCUUGUAGACAUAUUUGAUGUAGGUAACUACUGGAGUAACCCCGUUGUGGAAGUAAUUACUGACCUUCUGCCGGUCAAGAGAGGUGAUCCAGGACGCCCCGUCAUCCCGAUCUGCAUUGGCAUGGUGGACUUCCCAGAAGCACUCUGCGACUUUGGCUCCAGCGUCAACAUUAUGCCCAGGGUACUCUAUGAAAAAUUCUUUACACAUCCUUUACUAGAAACAACCAUGUGUUUGCAGCUUGCAGAUCGGACACUAAGUCUCCCAAAGGGAAUAUUGAAGAAUCUCUGCGUUCGAGUUGGUACCUUGUACGCCCUAGCAGACUUCGUGGUGAUAGAGACUGGUGUAACACCCUAGGUGUUAAGCAUGCACUUAGUCUCAUAAACUCUCUCAUAAGCAUUCUCAUCAAGCAUGGCAUAAGCAUAACAUCACAUGAGCAUAGUAGUAAUUCAAGUAUGAUUUUAUGUGCUUAAUUUAUGUGAAUUAAAUAUGAUAAAAAUAGUAUGCUUGUUCCAAAAAUCCUUGUGAUGCCCAAAAUAGGUUGAAGUAUGUUUUAGAAGAAUUAAGAGUAAUUUUGUGAAAUUUUUGGAGCUAUAGAAUUUGAGAAAUGGAUUUUAUACAAAAAUCCCUAAAAUGAAUUUAUUGAAAACCUAGAACUAGUUUUGGUGCGUGAUUCAAAUUCUGUUUCGAAUUUGAAUUUGCAUACUAAAGCAAAGUUGUAGAGAAUUUUGUGGGGAACAUUUCUUGUUUUUACUCCAACCCCUGAAAAGAUAUGCAAAAGCUUCAAACAUCUCAUUUAAGCUUUUUGGGAAAAAAUAUUUUUUUAAAAAAGGAAAAGGGGGCAGGCGCUGCUGGGCCGAUCCGCCUCCCUUUCGGCUCAUCCAAGCCGUGCGGCCUGGCCUACCCUCCCCUCUCCCACGCGCGGAUGCCCGCCUCACUCCACCCGGCGCCGGCCACAUGGCGGCCGUACGCCGGCGUUGUGGACGCGCCGCUCGGCCGACCGGCUUACCCCGGUCGGGACGGCACCCCGUGACCCCAGGUGCCAUUCUGUCCCCCCCGCUCCCUCUCCUUCUCUGCUCGCGAGCGCAGCCGCAGCAGCAGCAACCACCGCGGCGCCAUUGCCGGUCGAAGCUCCGCCACUCGCCGCAGGCCGCGUUAGUGAACCGUUCUCUACGCCAAGACCACCGCCGUGUUCGCCUUCGCCGCGGUAAGCCCCUGCGCGCUCUACCAAGGUGAAAACUCUCCGCGAGCCCGUAAUCUCUCGUCGGAGUUCGCUCGACCUCGUCGGAGUGCUCCGCCGCGUCGAGGCCUUCCCGUUUCUGCCCUGUUUCGCUUGUGUUUAAGCGCGUUAGGUUCGGAGCGUGACGAGUAAGCUUACACGGUACCCCGUGCGCGCUCUACUCCACCGGAGUGGCCUGGCCAGGGCGUGCAGCGCCGCUGUGCCGCCAUGCACGCCAGCGGGGGUACUCUGGUCGUCCUCCGGCCAAUCCAAGGGCACCCUCGGGUGCGCCUCGCCGCAGGGAGCACGUUGGUGCUCACCCCGUGGCCGGAGACCUCACCGCCGACGAGAUCCGCUCGUCGGAGGUGCUCUCCCCCUCGGUCACGCUGACCAGUGGGGUCGGGGGCCCGCUGUCAGCCGCAGGGGGACCAAGGCGGGUAGAGAUCCGAGUGUUCCUAGCAUUUUUCAUUCCGGAUUUGAAAUGGUUUUCACAAAAUGUUUUCCCGAAAAUGAUUUAAAUGGUAUUAAAUCUAUAUCUUGAGAUCCAUGGCUCCAAAAAUGAUGAAAUAAGUUGUGGUGUGUUCUAUAAUUCCAGAUCUAUAGUUUGGUGUGGUUGCAUGUCACGUUUGAACAACUUUUCUGUACAAAUAUAUUUAAUCCAUCUCUUUGCUGAAAAUUGGAAAAUGCAUAGUAAUUAAAAUAUAACUCAGGAAAAUAUGAAACUUGUUUUGUUAGCUUUGCAUGGAUGAUUAGUCUCUGGAAAAAAUAUGUCACAUAUUAUUUGCUGUAUAAAUUAAUUUGUGGUGAUUUAAAUGAUUGCAUGGCAAUGGUUUAUGAUUUUUAAAAAAAUUGGUUCAUGCAAUUAAUCUGGAAAUUUUUGUGGGUGUUUCUUAUGUUAACAAGUAAUUUAUAAAAUAUGAAAUCUGUUGUUUGACACUUAGUCAAUAGUAAGGUAUUUAUACUUAAUUAUAUUGAGUAGUUUUGCAAUUAUUGUAGCCCAAACUAAGUGUCCAAAUAUUAUGAAAAAUUUAAGGUAGACUUUAUGAUUUACCAAUGAUCUACUGCAAUUUUUGUGGAAUUUAUUGAUAACCAGAAAUAUAUGCUACUGUUGUAGGCCCAAUAAUAGAUAAAAUAAAGUAUGAAUUGUUAUACAUAAAUCAAAUGGAACGAAGGGGUGUUUGGUGUAUCUUUGAAGCAUCAUGUUAGUUUGCUGGUUAACCAUGAAAGCAACUUGUAGAAGAGAAUGCAAUAGAUGCUUAAUUUGAGUACAUGUUCUUGGAUGAUGUUGACUACCUUAUAGAAAUAACCACCUAUGUCAUCUAUGCACCAUGUCAUGGUCAUCUGGUACCCACUUGCAUAAGCAUUGCACCCCGGGCAUCUCGCACUCCACUCAUGAGCACACAUGCAACAUGCGGCAGCGAAGGUGGCUUGAGUUGAUUAAAGAUUAUAAUCUACAAGUGCACUAUCAUCCGGGCAAGGCAAACGUGGUUGCGGAUGCCUUGAGUCGGAAAGCGCACUGUCACUCCAUCCAAGUGAAUCCCGAAGGCCAGGAGGGCAACCAGGAGGUGGAGGUCUAGCAAGUCGGACUCGAGGAGCCCGAAGAAGAAGUUGAGUGCCUGAACCACGAGCCAGCCUCGUUCGUGAAAAGCAAGCCCCGGAGCAUACUAAGUCUCCCUUUACUUUCGAAAGUUUACUUAAUAUGUUAUAUCUAUUGAUGCAUUAAGUAUAGGAGUUGUGAUGAAACCUUUGUUGCACUUUACUCCAUCCUUGUUCAGAUAACUUACCAUACCCUGGAUGUAGAGUUAGGAUCGAGUAGCAGCUUAGCCAUGCUUUAAUCGGUAGAAGUCGGGUGAUUUCCUGUCACCUGCGCGAUAUAGGGUUAUGUUGGGUCACGAUGGACUAUAUGUGCUAUCGUGGGUGGAACCGGAUUAAUUUGACUUAAGCCGGGCGAAGUUUUGCAAGGUUGUAGUAACUCCGUCUGUGGCAGCUAAGGACCGACCGUUGUACGUCCUCUUGUCAUGUUGAACGCAUGCCUGACACUUAGUUGGCCGGAUAACUUGUUCUGACCGCGAAGCCGAGUAAUAUGACUCAGGUCGGAAGGUCGAUAAGUAUAAAGUGCGCACUACCGGAGGAAGUGCGGUGUGCGGGGGACCAUUGGCGUAAGUCCAAAGGCAGGUGAGUUAAAAUUCCUGACCUCUCUGGCAGAGUGGUAGCCCUGGGAGUGCGGCGCUUAUCGGAACCGCGAUUCCGGAGUCGUAUCAAAGGUGACCCUUUGGCUCUUCAAUGAGGGAUGCUUGGGUGAGUGCUAGGAAUAACCCUCCAGCUGGAUAGGAAUUCGAUUCGAAUCGCCGUCUCUCCCGGUCAUUGAGAACUUGACAGAGCAGCGGCAAAUGUAGCAUUCACUAAAGAACUUUGGUUCAUGAUAAUGAUGAUAGCAAGGAAAAGUACAUGAUGAACUUGAUAUGGUUAUUAUUGCUUGUAAUAAUCAAGUGAAGUGCUCUAGUACAGGUGCUAAUCUAGUGGUAGGCUUAUGAUAAAUGAAUAUGAUGCUCUUACAAUAAUUUAGUUAUAAUAAAGGCUUUUGGCAAAUGUUGAGUCAACCAGCUCUACUUAUAUAUAUUAGCCUUGCUUGAUCCUUGGUGUCUUUUAUGUUUUACUAGACGGGUAAGUCUAGCUGAGUACAUUCUCGUACUCAAGGUUUAUUCCCACAUGUUGCAGAUGAUAUCUUUUAUGAUGGCUUCUGCAAGACCUGUCUCCAUCCCGCUGGGGAUGAGGACUAACCGUUGGGCACGGUUCUCUAACAAACUCGUACCUGCUGCUUUUGGAUGGAUGGCAUGAGACUCUGGCAAUAACAAGAACUUGUGAAAUGAACUUUGGAAAGUGUGUGUGUAAUUAUUUUGCUUCCGCUACUUCGAACAAGUGUUGUAACAACUUAAUAACUCCGAUGUGGUGCCGCUUCGAUGGCAAUGAAUGACUAUAUAACAUUCGCUGUGUUGUGCUGAAUUAUUAUGAUAUUGGUUUGUUGCAAGUUGGUUUAAAGUCCUUCAUGAUUUCAAUUGACUACCGGGAUUAUAUAGGCUCAAGUUUGGAAACUUGAUUGCUUGUCGAUCGUUUCUACACUUGAACUCUUAUAAUUUGGUCGGUUCUGUGACAUCUAUGAAAAAUUCUUUACAUAUCCUUUAUUAGAAACAACCAUGUGUUUGCAGUUUGCAGAUCAGACAUUAAGUUUUCCAAAAGGAAUAUUGCGGAACCUUUGUGUCCGAGUUGGUACCUUGUAUGCCCCAGCAGACUUCAUGGUGAUAGAGACCGGUAAUGAUGAGAGGGCACCCAUCUUCUUAGGGAGGCCAUUCUUGAACACCUCGGGAGCUGUCAUCUACGCUAGUGCUGCCAAGAUCAGUUUCUACAUCAAAGGUAAGAAGGAGACGUUUUCCUUCAAGAACAAGAUUACACAAAUCCCAGAUCAAUCCAGACGUGAAUCAAGGAAGAGGACCAACAGGAGGAACAAGAACAAGCAAGUGUGGACCGAGUCAGCUAAGAUGGUCACUGCAGUUUAAGAAGGUCAAGAUCAUCAACUUAAGUCACUGUUUUGGACCAAGAAGGAUGACCCAGGAAUGCCAAGCAUCUAUUGCUCCAUAAAUGGAUACAACUUCUACAAGACGACUUGCAACACUGGAUCUGGCGUCAACAUAAUGGCCGCAGUCACCUAUCGGCUCUUGUUCGGAACCAUGCCCCUAAAACCAACAUACAUUCAGCUCCAGAUGGUAGAUCAGACGUUUCGAGAAGUUAAAGGAACAGUAACUGAUGUCCCAGUCAAAAUAGACGAUCAUUUUGUCUACACAGACUUUCAGGUUAUUGACAUGGGAAAAGACGAAUACGAUCCACCCAUCAUCCUUGGAAGACCGUUCCUCAGCACCGUUAAAGCAAUUAUCUACAUUGGAACUGGAGAAGUCUAUAUGCACUUCCCCUCAGAGAAGGUACGCCACUAUUUUAUUGACCCUAACUAUAUCUUUGAAGAAUCUAAGCAGGUAAGAAAACGACGCAACCGCAACCAGAAGAGGCAAAUCAUCAAGGACGGAUGGGCAGACUAUGAAGGAGAAGUUGUAAGGUCAGAAGACGUAGAAUUUAAAUAGAACUAUCCUGAGGAGACCGUAGCACCAAGUCUGGUGUGGAAAGAGAAGAUAACUAUACAUGAAGAGGAGGCGCUGCCGAAAGUACCGACUACGCCACCCAACGAAUCCCAGGACAACUGAAGAAAACGGAGAGUCCCGUUCGGAGGACUUAAAAACACCGAACGCCUUGCCAAGAGGUAAACUUGGUAGUUAUCCUUUCCCUUUCAAUUAUUUAAAUAGUUUGCUUAGUUAAUUAUGUUCAUGCUGUCCUAAAAAGAAAAUAAAAAGGUUAAAAAUAUAGUAAGCCCCAUGUGAGUAUAUGAGUGGUAAGAAACCCAUAAGUACAUUCACUGUGGUGGCAUAAAAAUAAAAAAAAAUUCUUUUCUACUUUAUAAAAUAAAAAUAUAAAAAAUAGAGAGUAAUAAUUAUUAAGGAGUCUCAAUAUGAUAAAGGCUAGAUAUUUAUGCUAACACUUAAUCAGUUCCACAAGAUUUGUUGUCUAUUUGAGCUCCACAGAAUUUAAGAAUCAAGAAGACUAGCAAACGGAGGACAUUCUAAUCACUGUCAGAAUGCUGCUGACUUUCAAAUACACCUCUGCCACCUGCUAGCUACAUCAAGAAAAAUUACGUCAAAAUUCAGCUUGGGGGAGAGCACCCCCAUGUAUCCCGAUAAGUAUUUCUAUCUAUCUUUAUACUAUAAAUAUACAUUAUUAUGAAAAACCAAAUAAAGAUUUGAUACUUAUAUAUAUAUCUUUUGCUUAGUGUGUUUAAUAAAUAAAUAAAUAAAGUGGCUAUGCUAAUCUGUAUCUAAAUAAAACUCUAGCAUGGAUAUGAUGAAUAGUUGCUCUGCGUAAUUUUUAUAAUUUGAAGUUCUCUCUCACUAGUUUAGAUAUAACUGUUAUAAUUUAAAGCUUGCUCUAGACCUAAACUUGUGGGAUGAAAACUUGAUCUGAAGUCUAAGUUGUUAACGGAUAUGAUAUGGGAAGGUUGAGCUGCUGUUUAUCUGUUCCUAGAGAUGCUAGAAUUCUGGAGAAUUUUAUCUUUGAAAAUCUUUAAAAUAUUGCAUGAUGAGUUCCUAUAUGAUGAGAGUUUAAAUUCUUACCACAGCCAUAUAUACAUGCUUGCUAGACUUUGAGCCACACAUUUACUAUUUACUGCUUAUGAGCAUUGAGUGUGGUCAAGCUAUGUAGACCCUUAGGAGCUUAUCAUGUGGUUUUUCACUUGCACGUUCACUCACAUAUGCUGCUUCUACUCUGGAUGUACCAUGCACAUAUAUCCACCUAUUUCCAUCUCCAGAAUCACCCAAAAAUAUUCUACUCCUAAUCCGGGAGAGAAUAAACAAAAAUAUUUCUGUUUUUCCCCUGUGAAAAAAAUGCUCAAAUUAUCUUGUUACUACCACUAGCUAUACCAUCUCAAGAGAUGAGUGCUCUAAAAAAACAAGAAAAAGAGAAAAGAUACGAGGAAAUAAAAAGGGGCAAGUGCCCGGAACCUCGAAAGAAAAGAAAAAGUGAGACGAGAGAUAAAAAUAGACAAGUGUCUGACAGUAGAAUUAGGGGUACAAGAUACCCACCUGAGAGGAAAGAAAAAGAAGAGCAUCUCAUUCUCCUCAUAAAGUUUUAGAAAGCAAGGAAGGUAUGUAUCCCCUCAAAAGAGCAAAGUAGAAUUAGACUUUCACCGUUAUCACCAUCAUUACCAUACACCAUUCAUUCGCCACACAUGCAAAUCUUGAUUUGACUUAUUGAUUUGUUUCUUUAGAUCCAUGGUUUGACUAUACAAUAAAUGUCUUGUAAGUAUGUAUAUUUUGUCUCCCACCUAUGAGCUCCAGAUAUUAAAGCCUUAUUAGAGUAGGGUGAGAGAGAAGGCAAUGUCACUAUGCCAUAUACCAUAAAUACCAUAUAUUUUGAGAGAAGGCAUAUACCAUCACUUCCUUGGUAAGGAUCCAGAAAUACCACAAAGGAGAGAUUUAAGAGAGUCAUACAAGGAAUCUCUGAGUUUUAUUUGAAAAUCUGCAAAAACUCCAGAGCUAUAGCUGAUCAAGAAUAAGAGACAUGGCACUAGACUAGACUGUUCUAUCUUUCAACUACUCAAGACAGAAGUGACGGUUACAAGUCCCAUGGUGAAAGGUAAAGUAAGUAAGUUUUAAGUCUUGAUAGUUUACUCUAACUCAGAGAUAAGAUCUUAUUUAAAAGCAUGUGUACCGUCAAUUUUAAGAGUAUUGCAGCAACUUCUAAUCUAUCCUUGCUCAGGGACAAGCAAGAGGUAAGCUUGGGGGAGUUUGUUGACGGUCCUUAAGUAUCAAAUUUAAUUAUGAAAUAAACAAAGAAAAGGAUCCAAAUAAAAUCAACAUCUAGACUUAGGG